RNAcentral lists this long non-coding RNA (68018 nucleotides) under Triticum aestivum (bread wheat). RNAcentral's name for it is "long non-coding RNA (TAES_LNC027501)". Lineage: Eukaryota; Viridiplantae; Streptophyta; Magnoliopsida; Poales; Poaceae. The record is from RNAcentral.
UGUUUUUUGUUUUUGUUUCUAUUUAGUAAUAAAUUUUGCAUCUACCUUCUGUUUAGAUGUGUUUUUGUGUUUUAAUUAGUGUUUGUGCCAAGUAGAACCUAUAGGAUAACCUAUGGUGAUAGUUAAUUUGAUUCUGCUGAAAAACAGAAACUUUGCAUGCACGAAAUUAGUUUUGUUAAAUCACAGAAACGUGCUUUUUCGUUGAUUCUUUUUGAUGAUGAUCAACAGACAAAUUUCCCAGGGCUUCCUAUUUUUUUAGGUUUUUUAAAGUUCCAGAAGUUUGCUUUAGUUGCAGAUUUCUACAGACUGUUCUGUUUUUGACAGAUUCUGUUUUUCGUGUGUUGUUUGCUUAUUUUGAUGCAUCUAUGGCUAGUAUUAAGUGAUAUGAACCAUAGAGAACUUGGAAUACAGUAGGUUUAACACCAAAAUAAAUAAAGAAUGAGUUCAUUACAGUACCUUAUGUGGUGGUUUUGUUUUCUUUCACUAACGGAGCUUAUGAGAUUUCCUGUUGAGUUUUGUGUUGUGAAGUUUUCAAGUUUUGGGUAAAGAUUUGAUGGACUAUGGAACAAGGAGUGGCAAGAGCCUAGGCUUGGGGAUGCCCAUGGAACCCCAAGAUAUUCAAGAAUAGCCAAAAUCCUAAGCUUGGGGAUGCCCCCGGAAGGCAUCCCCUCUUUCGUCUUCGUUCAUUGGUAACUUUACUUGGAGCUAUAUUUUUAUUCGCCACAUGAUAUGUGUUUUGCUUAAAGCGUCGUGUAUGAUAUUAGUAUUUGCUUUUUAGUUUACCACAAUCAUCCUUGCUAUACACACCUUUUGGGAGAAGCCCACUUGAUUAGAAUUUAUUAGAAUACUCUAUGUGCUUCACUUAUAUCUUUUGAGCUUGAUAGUUUUUGCUCUAGUACUUCACUUAUAUCUUUUAGAGCACGACGGUGGCUUAAUUUUGAAGAAAUUGUUGAUCUCUCAUGCUUCACCUAUAUUAUUUUGAGAGUCUUUUAGAACACCAUGGUAUUUUCUAUGGUUACAAAUUUGGUCCUAGAAUGAUGAGCAUCCAAGUUGGGUAUAAUAAAAACUAUCAUAGAAAGUGCAUAAAACACUAGGAUCAAUUUGAUGCUUGAUAAUUGUUUUGAGAUAUAGAGGUGGUAAUGUUAGAGUCAUGCUAGUGGGUAAUUAUGAAAUUGAGAAAUACUUGUGUUGAAGUUGGCAAGUCCUGUAGCAUGAACGUAUGGUAAAAGUUGUGUGACAAAUUUGUUGCAUGAGGUGCUCUUUUGAUUGUAUUCCUUAUGAGUGGAGGUCGGGAUCGCGAUGGUUAACUCCUACCAACCCUUCCCCUAGGAGCAUGCGUAGUAGUACUUUGCUUCGAGGGCAAGUAGACUUUUGUAAUCAGUAUAUGAGUUCUUUAUGACUAAUGUGAGUCCAUGGAUAUACGCACACUCACCCUUCCACUUUGCUAGCCUCUAUUAUAUCGCACAACUUUCGCCGGUAUCAUGCACCCAUUAUUUACCUUCCUCAAAACAGCCACCAUACCUACCUAUUAUGGCAUUUCCAUAGCCAUUCCGAGAUAUAUUGCCAUGCAAAUUUCCACCAUUUCGUUUAUUAUGACACACUUCAUCAUUGUCAUAUUGCUCUUUGCAUUCUCAUGUAGUUGACAUCGUAUUUGUGGCAAAGCCACCUUCAUAAUUUUCCUACAUGUCGCUCUUGAUUCAUUGCAUAUCCCGGUACACCGCUGGAGGCAUUCAUAUAGAGUCAUAUCUUGUUCUAGUUUUGAGUUGUAAUUCUUGAGUUGUAAAUCAAUAAAAGUGUGAUGAUCUUCAUUAUUAGAGCAUUGUCCUAGUGAGGAAAGGAUGAUGAAGACUAUGAUUCCCCCACAAGUCGGGAUGAGACUUCAGACUUUAAAAACAAAAGAAAAAGAAAGGCCGAAAAAAGGCCAAAGAAAAAAAAAGAAAAAAAGGAAAAAAUGAGAAGAAAAAAAUGAGAGAAAGAGAAAAGGGACAAUGCUACUAUCCUCUUUACCACACUUGUGCUUCAAAGUAGCACCAUGAUCUUCAUAAUAGAGAAGUCUCCUAUGUUGUCAUUUUCAUAUACUAAGUGGGAAUUUUUCAUUAUAGAACUUGUCUUGUAUAUUCCAAUGAUGGGCUUCCUCAAAAUGCCCUAGGUCUUCGUGAGAAAGCAAGUUGGAUGCACACCCACUUAGUUUCUUUUGUUGGGCUUUCAUAUAUUUAUAUCUCUUGUGCAUCUGUUGCAUGGCAAUCCCUACUCACUCACAUUGACAUAUAUUGAUGGGCAUCUCCAUAGCCCGUUGAUACGCCUAGUUGAUGUGAGACUAUCUUCUCCCUUUUUGUCCUCACAACCACCACCAUAUACCACCAUAGUGCUAUGUCCAUGGCUUGCGCUCAUGUAUUGCGUAAGAGUUGAAAAACCUGAAGCGCGUUAAAAAUUAUGAACCGAUUGCUUGGCUGAAACUGGGGUUGUGCAUGAUGGGAGUAUUUUGUGCAAUGGAAAUGAAGCAUGGCCUAACUAUAUGAUUUUGUAGGGAUGAGCUUUCUUUGGCUAUGCUAUUUUGAUAGGACAUGAUUAUUUGUUACUAUGCUUCGAAGCAUUAUUAUUUUUUAUGUUUUAUAAGCUUUUAUCUUGAAUCAUUUGGAUCUAAACAAUCAUACCACAAUAAAGAAAAUUACAUUGAGAAUUAUGCUAGGUAGCAUUCCACAUCAAAAAUUCUGUUUUUAUCAUUUACCUACUCGAGGACGAGCAGGAAUUAAGCUUGGGGAUGCUUGAUACGUCUCCAAUGUAUCUAUAAUUUUUGAUUGUUCCAUGCUAUUAUAUUACCCCUUUUGCAUGUUUAUGGGCUUUAUUUUACACAUUUAUAUCAUUUUUUGGGACUAACCUACUAACCGGAGGCCCAGCCCGUAUUGCUGUUUUUUGCCUAUUUCAGUAUUUCGAAGAAAACGAAUGUACGAAAUGAAACCUUUGGGAGCGUGAUUUUUGGAACGAACGUGAUCCAAAGGACUUGGAGUGCAAGUCAAGAAGCGAUCGAGGCGGCCAGGAGAUAGGAGGGCGCGCCCACCCUCCCUGGCCGCGCCCCCCUAUCUCAUGGGCCCCUCUGGUGGCCACCGACGUACUUCUUGCUCCUAUAUAUACGCACGUACCUCGAAAACAUCCGGGGAGCCAACGAAAACCAUUUUCCAUUGCCGUAACCUUCUGUAUCCGUGAGAUCCCAUCUUGGAGCCCUCGCCGGCGCUCCGUCGGAGGAGGAAUCGACCAUGGAGGGCUUCUACAUCAACACCAUAGCCCCUCCGAUGAGUUGUGAGUAGUUUACCACAGACCUUCGGGUCCAUAGUUAUUAGCUAGAUGGCUUCUUCUCUCUUUUUUGGAUCUCAAUACCAUGUUCUCCCCCUCUCUUGAGGAGAUCUAUUCGAUGUAACUCUUUUUGCGGUGUGUUUGUCGAGAUCCGAUGAAUUGUGGGUUUGUGAUCAAGUUUAUCUAUGAGAAAUAUUUGAAUCUCUUCUGAAUUCUUUUAUGUAUGAUUGAGUUAUCUUUGCAAGUCUCUUUGAAUUAUCAGUUUGGUUUGGCCUACUAGAUUGAUCUUUCUUGCCAUGGGAGAAGUGCUUAGCUUUGGGUUCAAUCUUGCGGUGUCCUUACCCAGUGACAGCAGGGGUUGCAAGGCACGUAUUGUAUUGUUGCCAUCGAGGAUAAAAAGAUGGGGGUUAUAUUAUAUUGCUUGAGUUUAUCCCUCUACAUCAUGUCAUCUUUCUUAAUGUGUUACUCUGUUCUUAUGAACUUAAUACUCUAGAUGCAUGAUGGAUAGCGGUCGAUGUGUGGAGUAAUAGUAGUAGAUGCAGGCAGGACGGUCUACUUGUCACGGACGUGAUGCCUAUAUACACGAUCAUGCCUAGAUAAUCUCAUAAUUAUUCGCUUUUCUAUCAUUUGCUCGACAGUAAUUUGUUCACCCACCAUAAUACUUAUGCUAUCUUGAGAGAAGCCACUAGUGAAACCUAUGGCCCCCGGGUCUAUCUUUUAUCAUAUAAGCUUUCAAUCUACUUUUAUUUGCAUCUUUACUUUUCCUAUCUAUAUUAUAAAAUACCAAAAAUAUAUUUAUCUUAUCAUACUAUCUCUAUCAGAUCUCACUUUCACAAGUGGCCGUGAAGGGAUUGACAACCCCUUUAUUGCGUUGGUUGCGAGUGAUACGUCUCCGUCGUAUCUACUUUUCCAAACACUUUUGCCCUUGUUUUGGACUCUAACUUGUAUGAUUUGAAUGGAACUAACCCGGACUGACGCUGUUUUCAGCAGAACUGCCAUGGUGUUAUUUUUUAUGCAGAAAAUAAAGAUUCUCGGAAUGUCCUGAAACUCCACGGAACACCUUAGAAAAAAUAAAGAAAAAUCCUCGCAAAAGAUGAAGACCAGGGGGCCCACACCCUGCUCAUGAGGGCGGGGGCGCCCCCCUGGGCGCGCCCCCCUACCUCGUGGGCCCCCUGGUGGCCCUCCGACGCCAACUCCAACUCCAUAUAUUGCCUUUCGGGGAGAAAAAAAUAAGAGAGAAGAAAUCAUCACGUUUUACGAUACGGAGCCACCGCCAAGCCCUAAUAUCUCUCGGGAGGGCUGAUCUGGAGUCCGUUCGGGGCUCCGGAGAGGGGGAUUCGUCGCCGUCGUCAUCAUCAACCAUCCUCCAUCACCAAUUUCACGAUGCUCACCGCCAUGCGUGAGUAACUACAUCGUAGGCUUGCUGGACGGUGAUGGGUUGGAUGAGAUUUAUCAUGUAAUCGAGUUAGUUUUGUUAGGGUUUGAUCCCUAGUAUCCAUUAUGUUCUGAGAUUGAUGUUGCUAUGACUUUGCUAUGCUUAAUGCUUGUCAGUAGGGCCCGAGUGCCAUGAUUCCAGAUCUGAACCUAUUAUGUUUUCAUGAAUAUAUGUGUGUUCUAGAUCCUAUCUUGCAAGUCUAUAGUCACCUACUAUGUGUUAUGAUCCGGCAACCCCGAAGUGACAAUAAUCAGGACCACUCCCGGUGAUGACCAUAGUUUGAGGAGUUCAAGUAUUCACUAUGCGCUAAUGCUUUGUUCCAGUUCUCUAUUAAAACGAGGCCUUAAUAUCCCUUAGUUUCCAAUAGGACCCCGCUGCCACGGGAGGGUAGGACAAAAGAUGUCAUGCAAGUUCUUUUCUAUAAGCACGUAUGACUAUAUACGGAAUACAUGCCUACAUUACAUUGAUGAACUGGAGCUAGUUCUGUGUCACCCUAUGUUAUGACUGCUACGUGAUGAACCACAUCCGGCAUAAUUAUCCAUCGCUAAUCCGGUGCCUACGAGUUUUCCAUAUACUGGUUUACACUUAUUUACUUUUCCGUUGCUACUGUUACAAUCUUUACAAAAUACCAAAAACAUUAUGUUUACUGUCUUUACUUUUGUUACCGUUACCACCACUAUCAUAUUACUAGCUACUAAACACUUUGCUGCAGAUACUAAGUUUCCAGGUGUGGUUGAAUUGACAACUCAGCUGCUAGUACUUGAGAAUAUUCUUUGGCUCCCCUUGUGUCGAAUCAAUAAAUUUGGGUUGAAUACUCUACCCUCGAAAACUGUUGCGAUCCCCUAUACUUGUGGGUUAUCAAGACUAUUUUCUGGUGCCAUUCCCGGGGAGCAUAUCUCUAUUCUUUGAGUCACUUGGGAUUUAUACCUGCUGGACACUAUCAAGAACUUGAAAGAUGAUCGAACUACUAUUUUGCCCUCAACUACGAGGGGAGGUAAGGGAUUGCCAUCUAGCCUUGCACUAGAUUCUCCUUCUGUUAUGAGUAAGUCUGCGACACCUAAACCUACUACUGCUAUUGAUUCUGAUAUGUCGCAUGUUAUUGAUGAUACCACUUUUGCUAUGCAUGAUACUUAUGAUGAAACUACUUCUAUGCUUGAUACUACUGUGCCACUUGGUGAAUAUCUUGAUGAGCAAAUUACUAGGUCUAGAGAAAGAGAAAUUAUUGAACCUGAACACGAUGAUAUUAGUGAUGAUGAACCUAUGCCUGCUAUUCCUAAGGGUUAUCUUUUUGAUGUUGAAUCUUCUGAAGCUAUUCUUGCUUGCCAGGAUGAACGUGAACGUAAGAGGUUGCUAGUUAAAUUGAGUAAAGAAUCUUUUAGAGGUAGAAUGAAACCCGACCCUGCUUUUGCUACUUCACCUAUCUGUGUUCCUGAUCAGGACUAUUAUGAUUUUUCUGUUGAUCCAGAUAUAAUUACUUUGGUUGAAUCUGAUCCUUUUUAUGGCUAUGAAUCUGAAACUAUUGUGGCACAUCUUACUAAGUUAAAUGAUAUAGCUACACUAUUUACUAAUAAUGAGAGAUCGCGCUACCUUUAUUUACUCAAGAUAUUUCCAUUCUCAUUAAAGGGUGAUGCUAAGAUAUGGUAUAAUUCUCUUGAUCCUGGCCCAGGAUAUGAUUGAUUACUUCUCUGCUAAAUAUUUCCCUGCUCAUAAGAAACAAGCUGCUUUGAGGGAAAUAUACAAUUUUGUGCAAAUUGAAGAAGAGAGUCUCCCACAAGCUUGGGGGAGGCUUCUCAAGUUACUUAAUGCUUUGCAUGAUCAACCUCUUAAGAAACCUGAAAUAUUUGAUAUCUUUUAUAAUGGACUAACUGAUGCUUCCAGAGAUUACCUGGAUAGUUGUGCUGGUUCUCUUUUCAGGGACAGAACACCGGAUGACGCUGAAAUUCUAUUGAAUAAUAUGUUGGCUAAUGAAAAUAAUUGGGCACCUCCCGAGCUACCUCCUGAGCCAGUUCCUGAGCCAAUUACUGAGCCUAUUCCUAAACCAACUCCGAAGAAGAGAGGUGUUCUAUUUCUCAGCCCCGAAGAUAUGCAAGAGGCAAAGAAAUUUAUGAAAGAAAAAGGUAUUAAAGCUGAAGAUGCUAAGAAUUUACCUCCUAUUGAAGAAAUACAUGGUCUUAAUUUACCUCCUGUUGAAGAAGUAUAUGGUCUCAAUUACUUAUUUAAUGAAGAACCUCCCGAUAGCCCUACACAGUUAGUAAAGGUAAAUUCUCUCGAUAGAUAUGAUAAAGCUGAAGUUCCUCCUACUAAAAUUGCUAGUCAGUGCUUGGAUGAGUUUGAUGACUUUAUGUUUAAGCAAGAUGAUUUUAAUGCUUAUUUGGUAGACAAUUAAAACAGAAUACCUUUAUGAUUAAAUGCUUGGGUGAUUAUAUGACUGAUAUUAGAGGUGAACUUAAACUUGUUAGCAAACAUGCUUCUAUGGUUACUACUCAAGUAGAACAAGUACUUAAAGCUCAGAAAGAAGUGCUUGAUGAAAUGAAUAGUAAGAAAAAUGAUUAUGUUGUUAGAGUUGCUACUAGAACUGGUAGAAUGACUCAGGAACCUUUGUACCCUGAAGGCCACCCUAAGAGAAUCGAGCAAGAUUCUCAGAGAAACAAUAUUGAUAUACCUAGUUCUUCUAAGACGAAGAAAAAGAAAAAUGAUAGGACUUUGCAAACUUCUAGUAAACCUAUCGCUGAACCACCUGCGAAUCCAAAUGAUGUCUCUGUUUCUGAUGCUGAAACACAAUCAGGUGAUGAACAUGAACCUAGUGAUAAUGUUAAUGAUAAUGUUCAUGUUGAUGCUCAACCUAGUAAUGAUAAUGAUGUAGAAGUUGAACCUGUUGUUGAUCUUGAUAACCCACAAUCAAAGAAUCAACGUUAUGAUAAAAGAGAUUUUGUUGCUAGGAAACAUGGUAAAGAAAGGGAACCAUGGGUUCAAAAACCCAUGCCUUUUCCUCCGAAACCAUCCAAGAAAAAGGAUGAUGAGGAUUUUGAGCGCUUUGCUGAAAUGAUUAGACCCAUCUGUUUGCGUAUGCGAUUAACUGAUGUGCUCAAAACAAAUCCUUAUGCUAAGUAUAUGAAGGAUAUUAUAACUAAUAAAAGAAAGAUACCUGAAGCUAAAAUUUCCACCAUGCUUGCUAAUUACACUUUUAAGGGUGGAAUACCAAAGAAACUUGGAGAUCCCGGAGUGCCUACUAUACCAUGCUCGAUUAAAAUAAGUUAUGUUAAAACUGCUUUAUGUGAUCUUGGAGCCGGUGUUAGUGUUAUGCCUCUCUCUUUAUAUCGUAGACUUGACUUGAAUAAGUUGACACCUACUGAAAUAUCUUUGCAAAUGGCUGAUAAAUCAACUGCUAUACCUAUCGGUAUUUGUGAGGAUGUGCCUGUUGUGGUUGCAAACUGUCGGUGUCAAAACAGGCGGAUCUCGGGUAGGGGGUCCCGAACUGUGCGUCUAGGCGGAUGGUAAUAGGAGACGAGGGACACGAUGUUUUACCCAGGUUCGGGCCCUCUUGAUGGAGGUAAAACCCUACGUCCUGCUUGAUUAAUAUUGAUGAUAUGGGUAGUACAAGAGUGGAUCAACCAUGAGAUCAAGGAGGCUAAACCCUAGAGGCUAGCCUAUGGUAUGAUUGUUGUAAUGGAGGUUAUGUCCUACGGACUAAAGCCCUCCGGUUUAUAUAGACACCGGAGAGGGCUAGGGUCACACAGAGUCGGUUACAAUGGUAGGAAAUCUACAUAUCCGUAUCGCCAAGCUUGCCUUCCACGCUAAGGAAAGUCCCAUCAGGACACUGGACGGAGUCUUCAAUCUUGUAUCUUCGUAGUCUUGGAGUCCGGCGGACGAUGAUAGUCCGGCUGUUCGGACACCCCCUAGUCCAGAACUCCCUCAGUAGCCCUUGAACCUGGCUUCAAUGACGAUGAGUCCGGCGCGCAUAAUGUUCGGCAUUGCAAGGCGGGUUCCUCCCUUAAAUAAUCCGGAGAAGAUCAUGAACACCAGGAUAGUGUCCGGCUCUGCAAAAUAAGUUCCACAUUCCACCGUAGAGAGAAUAAUAUUUACACAAGUUCAAUCUGCUGACGUAUUUCGUGGCAUGACGUCACACCACGGCCAAGCCUUUAUUCAAAUCGUUUUUAUUGUUCCACCUCAGCGCGUUUAGCGAAGCGGUUCCUUGGCACGUCUUGUCAAAGCAGAGAUCGUGUCCCCUUAUUCUGGGAUUCUCAUCAAUACGGACGUGGGUAACCCAACCGCGCCAUUGAUGGUGGCGCUUGGGAGAUAAGCGAGUUUUACCAGGCUGGUGGGGGACGCAUAGUUUCGUCCGCCUAUAUAUAAGGGAUAAGGAUUCACCCUUUCACCUACGCCUUCUUCCUCCUUUGCUUAUCCAUCUCUGCGCACUCGAGCUCCAACGCCCAAGUUUGCACAUCUCGUCUAGACCUUCUCCGACCAUGUCCGGAGCGGGAGGCAAAUGGCUGGCCUCCAUCGUUAAGGAGGAGCACAUCACGAGGCUACGCAGCGCCGGGUACCUUUCCAGCGAUGUUGCACAUUGGCUGCCCGACGAGGGGCAACUCAUCCCCACCCCUGGGCCCCAUGAGAGGGUCGUUUUCCUUCCCCACUUCCUCCGCGGACUGGGCUUUCCACUUCACCCCUUUGUCCGGGGGAUCAUGUUCUACUACGGCCUGGAUUUCCAUGAUCUGGCGCCUAACUUCAUACUCAACAUCUCGGCGUUUAUCGUCGUAUGCGAGGCCUUCCUCUGCAUUCAGCCCCACUUCGUCUUAUGGCUCAAGACCUUCAAUGUCAAGCCGAAGGUGGUGAAGGGCACUCAAGCGGAGUGCGGAGGCGCCAUGUUGGGCAAGAUGCCCAACACCCUUUGGUUCGAAGGGGCCUUCGUGGAAUCCGUCAAGGGGUGGCAGUCGGGGUGGUUCUAUUUCACUGAGCCGCGCGACCCUACAUGGGCGGCGGCCCCCGAGUUUAGAUCUGGUAUCCCUACGCAGCUCACCUCCUGGAAAGAGAAGGGCUUGCGGUGGGGUAAUUCGAAGGAGCUGACGGAACUUCAAGCCUGUAUCCAGAAGCUGGUGAACAAGAAGCAAAGGCUGGUUAACAUGGUCCAGGUCAUGCUCGUCCGCCGGAUUCUCCCAUGCCAAGAACGGGCAUUCAAUCUGUGGGAGUUCGAUCCGGAACAGCACCAGGCGCUAAGCGGGCUCUUCGACACAACGUACGAAGGCGCCUGGAGGGUGCUGUUUAAGGGCGCCGAAGCUCCCGCAUCUGCGACGGAAGAUCGUGGAUUCCACUCGCGGCGUCCAGCCGACGAGGUAAGUGAUUCUACCCCUUUACGGGACACUUGUUGUUAAUAAUUCGACCCUAAGCGGGUUUUAAUCUCCCUUCUCCUUUGACAGGAGUGGAUGAAGAAGGCCGAGCAGCUCAUCUGCCCGGCUCCCAUGCCAGAAGACCCAGUGGACGCCCGUCUAGCGGGGUUGCUGGUUCCGGCACCGCACGUGGUGCCGGAGAAGAAGGCCAAGAAGGUGGCCACGGGAACUCGAAAGAGUUCCCGCUUUCAGGUGUCCGACGACUCCGAGGCGGACUCCUCCCCCGAAGAUGAGGAGGAGGAAGAAGACUCUCUCCCAGAGGAGGGAGAGAGGAAGAGGAAGGCUUCCCCAAUAGGGGAGGCCGAAGGGUCCAAGAGGGGAAGAACUAUUCCCCCGGACAGCUCCGCUAACACCAACGUUGGCGGUGAAGAGUGGCCCUCAAGGCCCAGGCCUCAGGCGAGAUCGUAAGUAUCCGGAUCCCUGAAUGAUCUGCAAUUUCUUUUGUGUCACAUAGUGUCCUUCUAAUGCCGCAUAAUGCCUACAAUCCGGCUGAUGAUGAUCUCCCCGCUUCAUCGAGCGGGUUGUUGGCUCCAUCGAAUGUGGAUUCCAUCCCGACUGCCUGCACCCCUCGCGCCGAUGAGGACACCGAGGUGGGAUCCCAGAAAGGGACCCAUCAGGAGGAGGCUCCGGAGGCGCCGCAAGGCAGCCUCCCGGACUUUGCGCCGGACUCUACGCCGGAACCUGCAGUGGUUCCAAAGUCCGGCAGGCGGCCCCUUCGCAAGAAGGGCAAGACCGUGACGCCGGCGGCCCCCGUCCAACCGGAGGCACCGGACAACUUGUUGGAGGCGCUCAAAGGCGCUUCCAUCGAGGAAGAACACCGCACUAUCAUGAGUGCGGUGAUUCAGAAGGUUCAGCUCGCCAAGAGCGGGCUGACCGAAGCCUGCAGCAGCCUUCUAACAGGCUUUGAGGUAAGAAGUUAAAUUAUGUAAUGUAAUACCGCAUAGACAGUAGCCCCUGAUGCUUAGUUCGGCGUUCGGAAAGAAAAGCCGGACUGAGGAUCUAGAAUGAUAUACGCAGGGUUGCUAAAAAAUAUGUCGAUAUGGGUUUGCAGGCUGCGCUGCUGACCUCUGCCGCACUGACUGCGAAGGUCGGUGCAUUGAAGCAGGAUCUCGAGCGGUCCGAGCAAGAUCUCGGCCGUGCCAAGAAGCAACUCGAGGACAAAGAAGGUGAGUAACACCACUUUAAAAUUUUACCUUACAGAAAAGGAUUUAGGUUGCAGUAGAAAUAACAAGGAUAACAUGGGUACUGCAGGGGCCACUAAUGAGGCGGCAACCCUGAAGGAGGCUGUGUCCGCGGCCGAACGCAAUGCGGCCGCGGAACGGGCCGAGCGAGAGAAGCAGGAGGCGCGGGUGGCGGAAGUGCGUCAAGAGCUCCAGGCUCUCAUGGAGAAGCAUGAGAGUUUGGAGCGCGACUCCAAGACUCGAGAGUCUGAGCUCGCCUCGGCUCUCAAAAGUGCCAUGUCCGCCAAGGCCGAGGCCCGUAAGGCCCUUCAGGAGGUUGAAGAUGUGAAGAAGAUAGCGGCGGGUAAGGCAUUUCUCAUGCAAAGCAAGCAUGUUAAUGUAAACUACCUGACACUUACCCGCAUUCGGAGCUCUCCAGGGGCGUUUGCAGAUCUGCCGCGCAGUGUAUCCGAUGCCGCCGCAUUCUACCGUGGCCAGGAGGGGAGCUCAACAGAGAAGGUCUUCUGGUCUCAGUAUGUUGAGGCCGGCCAUCCGGUGCCCCCUAGCGACCAGCUGAAGCAGUUGGUCGAGCUCCACAAGGCGGCUGAGGAGGCCAUGAAGGGCCUCAUAGUCCGGCUGUGGCCUGGACAGGCCAUGCCUGGGGGCUACUUCGGCCUCGUGCGGCGGCUGGUGGAUGCAUGCCCCUGGGUGGAGGUUAUCAAGCGCUCCGCCUAUAUUGAAGGUGCUCGUCGGGCCCUUGCCCGCACAAAGGUGCACUGGGCCAGGCUGGAUGCGGAGAGGCUUCUUACAGACCCGCCGCCAGCGGGCAAGGAGUAUCGUACGCCCGAAAUGUAUUAUAAGACUGUCCUGAAGGGUGCCCGCAAUAUUGCGGAUGAGUGCCCCAGAGAUGUAAUUUUUGAGUAAAACUCGCUAUGUAUUAUCCUGUGCGCUGAAAACUUUUGUUCAUAUGCGCUAAGCAACACUUGUUUAAUUUAAAAUAUUACCUUCUGUGCGGCCGUUUAUAAAAUCUGAGAGAUGGCAAGUCGUUGGCUUCAGCCCCCGAGCCACAAGUGCUGGGGUGUUCGGGAUAACUUGAGCACUCUUGUUCCCAUUUUUGGGUCCACCUAGGGAGGCGCUCAACACAACGAACAAGGCAACCAGACUUAUAAUGCUUGAACACUCUCACUUAGCCAUAGAAUUCUAUAAUUUUAAAUUUCGGCGAAGCCCCUAGUAUUCGGAAGACCGAAUUCGGGGCGCUAUCCACGCCUUCGUCGGACAUUAUCCGGUACUUCGCUCGAAGCGGCAUGAGUCUUUAGGGACCCGAAAAGACCUCUCGAACAGCGACCGGUCUCUCGCCUUAUCAUGCCAGUCAGUUUUAGCUUUCUCCACUGAGGCGCUCGCCCGGCUCAACCGGGGCGCAAUCGCAGUGGUUCUCCCAGUGCCACCUUAGCCGACAGAACGGAACGUAAGGCACCAAAACGUGGGAGCCGGGCAAACCCAACUAUUGACCCAAGACAUGAUUCGGAGCCGAUUCAUAUAAUGCUAUAAGUUCGGGGUGCCGCACUUGUGAAAGUGUUCGGACUUAUCACACCAUAAUGCGGGGAAUAUAAGCCCCUGGUGUAUUCGGCCGUACCAAAAUAUACGGGUGCGAGAUGUCAUCAAUGAACAUAUGUGUAAAGUAAUGCAAUAACAGGCAAAAAAUGUUGCAUUAUUUAUUCAAGAAAUUCUGUUAUAAGUGCGGAAGGAUACAAAUAGUGCGGUAAGCAAGGGAUUGGAAUAAAUAAGCAUGUCCCCCUCCAGGAGUGGGCUGCGUACUGGUGUAUAUAAUCGAAGUUAAUGCUCGUAAUGGAGACCACCUGAGUGUUAACCGCAACCUUCUUUCUUCCCUGGCCAUUGCAUCAUGAGUUCGGCGGGUCCACCGCCGGACAGGGCUUCUGGUAAAUGAAGUCCUGUAAAAAAGAAAAAAGAAAAAGAGCGACACACUUGAGAGCCCCUGGUGUGGUCGAGCCGCACUCUGGGUCUGUUGCGGUCGUGCCCCUCCCCUUAAGCCCAUGGUAUCUCCAAAGCGUAAUGAUGUACGCGGAGGGUUAGUCUUGCAAUCAUGCGAGGGCUGGGGUUGGGGCCGCAUUGCUACGCGUGCUCGGAAUGCGCCAGGUGGUCUUGGUUGAUGUUGCUCCGGGCGCGUUUGGCCGUGUCCGGCCGUUUAACGGCCGGACUCGAAAAUUGCCUUAGAAGGCUGAUCUGUACUUCUGCCGCGAGAGCCGCUGUAUGUUCCUCCGUUCGGAGGGAGCGUUCCGUAUUUCCGUUGACCGUGAUCACUCCACGAGGGCCUGGCAUCUUGAGCUUGAGGUAUGCGUAAUGCGUAACCGCGUUGAACGUUGCAAACGCGGUUCGUCCGAGCAGGGCGUGAUAGCCACUGUGGAAUGGGACUAUGUCGAAGAUUAAGUCCUCGCUUCGGAAAUUGUCCGGGGAUCCGAAGACCACUUCCAGUGUGACUGAGCCUGUACAAUUGGCCUCAACACCUGGUAUGACGCCUUUGAAGGUCGUCUUUGUAGGUUUAAUCCUUGAGGGGUCUAUGCCCAUCUUGUGCACUGUAUCCUGAUAAAGCAGGUUCAGGCUACUGCCGCCGUCCAUCAGGACUCUUGUGAGGUGAAAUCCAUCGACGAUUGGGUCUAAAACCAAUGCGGCGAAUCAGCCAUGGCGGAUACUGGUCGGAUGGUCUCUUCGAUCGAAAUUGAUCGGGCAAGAGGACCAUGGAUUGAACUUCGGGGCGACUGGCUCCAUCGCAUAUACGUCCCUUAGUGCACGCUUCCGCUCCCUCUUGGGUAUGUGGGUUGCGUAUAUCAUAUUAACCAUCCGCACUUGUCGGGGGAAACCCUUCUGUCCUCUAUUGUUCGGUGGUCGGGUCUCUUCCUCAUCAUCGCUGUGCAGUCCCUUGUCAUUGUUUUCGGCAAUUAAUUUGACUGCCUGCUUGAAUACCCAAUAAUCUCUGUUGGUGUGAUUGGCUGGCUUUUCGGGGGUGCCAUGUAUCUGGCAUAAGCGGUCGAGUAUUCGGUCCAAAUUGGACGGACCCGGAGUGGUUCUUUUGAAUGGCUUCUUCCGCUGACCGGGUUUAGAGCCUCGGAAUCCGGUGUUGACUGCCGUAUCCUCCUUGUCGUCGCCGUUAAUGCAGCGUUUAUUUUUGCUUCGACGCGACCUGCCAUUGUGGUCCUUGGUAUCCGGUCUGCCAGAAUUUUUACUGAGGUUGUUGCUGCGAGCUAGCCAGCUGUCCUCUCCCGCACAAAAGCGGGUCAUUAAGGAUGUGAGGGCUGCCAUGGAUUUUGGCUUUUCCUGUCCUAGGUGCCGGGCUAGCCACUCGUCGCAGAUGUUAUGUUUGAAGGCUGCGAGGGCCUCUGCAUCCGGACAGUCGACAAUUUGAUUUUUCUUUGUUAGGAACCGUGUCCAGAACUGUCUGGCCGAUUCGUCUGGCUACUGAAUUAUGUGGCUUAGGUCAUAGGCGUCUGGUGGUCGCACAUAUGUGCCCUGGAAGUUGUCAAGGAAUGCGGCUUCCAGGUCUUCCCAACACCCAAUUGACUCUGCGGGCAAGCUGUUGAGCCAAUGCCGAGUUGGUCCUUUAAGCUUGAGUGGGAGAUAUUUGAUGGCAUGGAGAUCAUCGCCGCGGGCCAUAUGGAUGUGAAGGAGGUAAUCUUUGAUCCAAACCGCGGGGUCUGUUGUGCCAUCGUAGGAUUCAAUGUUUACGGGUUUAAACCCUUCAGGGAUUUGAUGAUCCAUUACUUCGUCAGUGAAGCAUAGCGGGUGUGCGGCGCCUCUAUAUUGAGCAAUAUCACGACGUAGCUUGAGUGAGCAUUGUCUGCUGUGUUCAGCCUGGCCGGAGUUAUUGUAUCCGGCGCGAUGGUAUUCGUCGUGGGUCGUGGGGUGCCCACGUGAUCCAUAGAUGGAUCUGGAUUGCCUUGCUUUGUCCUCCAAUAUAUCUCGCAAGUCCGGCGUGUUCCCUCUUGGCCUCAUACUUUUGGAGCGAUGCGGGGGUACGGUCUUGGUGGAGGGCCUAGAUGCCUCUCUGUCGCGACCACGGGGUGGUCGGUCGGCCGUAUUGUGCGCUGGUGAUGAAGGUAUGUAUGCUUCCUCCUCUAAUCGGGGGAGCAACUUGCGUUUUGGGUAGCUUUUGGAGGGGCGUUCAAGUUCGUACUCUUCGGCCGCGAGGACCUCGGUCCAUCGAUCGGCCAGCAGGUCUUGAUCAGCUUGAAGCUGCUGCUGCUUUUUCUUUAGGCUAUUUGCCGUGGCGAUAAGCCUGCGUUUAAAACGCUCUUGUUCGACGGGAUCCUCGGGCACGACGAAUUCGUCGUCGUUGAGGCUUGCCUCGUCUUCGGAGGGAGGUAUGUAAUUAUCAUCCUCAACCUCUUCAUCUGCCGCUUUCUCGUGAGGGCUUGCUUCUACCUCCUCCUGCGCUGAAUCUUGCUGGAGGGGAUUGUCUUCGGCACUUUCUGGGGUAUUAUUAUCUCCUGUGACUGAAUCUCCAUUCUUGCUGUGCCGGGAUUUAGAGCGGCGUCGCUGACGUCGGCGCUUGGGCUGUUUCUUUAAGGAAUCUGCCUCCGCUGCUUCUUCGUCGUCCCCCUCUUUUGGGGUGUCCACCAUGUAUAUGUAAUAUGACGAGGUGGUCUUCCAGUGCCCUUUAGGCGCUGGUUCUUGUUCGUCUCCGGCAUCGUCGUCCAUACCGUCGAUGUCUUCGGAGUCGUAGUCUAGCAUGUCUGUUAGAUCGUCGACAGUGGCUACAAAGUGGGUGGUGGGUGGGCUUUGAAUUUCUUCAUCGUCCGUAUCCCAACCGUCCUGGCUAUAGUCCGGCCAGGUCUCUCCGGAUAGCGAGAGAUGUUUUAGCGAAUUUAAGAUGUCGCCAAAGGGCGAGUGUUGGAAGAAGUCCGCGGCGGUGAAUUCCAUGACCGGCGCCCAAUCGGAUUCGAUUGGCAGGGGCGCGGAAGGUUCGGAGUCCGGCAGGGAGUCCGGCACCUCGGAAUCACGAGCUUCGCAAGGGACAAGGUCAAUGUUCGGCUCCAUCACCGUGGAAGUUGCAGCCCCCGAGGCGGUGUCCAACCACCGGUCCUCGAUUUGGGCGAUCGGCUCCGGACUGAAGGUCAGAGCGGAUUCGUGUGCGGCCACCAAGGCACUGUCCGGCGGUAGAGCUAGAUCAUGCCCAUCGUGAUAGUGCGGCACGCUCAGCUGUGGCUCGAGUCCGUCGAAGAUCAAGUCCCCGCGGAUGUCGGCCGUGAAGUUUAGGCUUCCGAACCUGACCUGACGGCCAGGGGCGUAGCUUUCGAUCUGCUCCAGAUGGCCAAGUGAAUUAGCCCGCAGCGCGAAGCUGCCGAAUACGAAGAUCUGUCCGGGGAGAAAGGUCUCACCCUGGAAAGCAUUGUUGAUUGAAGAAGCCAUCGGGCCUAUCGGUGACGACACAGAGGAACUCUCAAUGAAAGCAACAAUGUCGGUGUCAAAACCGGCGGAUCUCGGGUAGGGGGUCCCGAACUGUGCGUCUAGGCGGAUGGUAACAGGAGACGAGGGACACGAUGUUUUACCCAGGUUCGGGCCCUCUUGAUGGAGGUAAAACCCUACGUCCUGCUUGAUUAAUAUUGAUGAUAUGGGUAGUACAAGAGUGUAUCUACCACGAGAUCAAGGAGGCUAAACCCUAGAGGCUAGCCUAUGGUAUGAUUGUUGUAAUGGAGGUUAUGUCCUACGGACUAAAGCCCUCCGGUUUAUAUAGACACCGGAGAGGGCUAGGGUUACACAGAGUCGGUUACAAUGGUAGGAAAUCUACAUAACCGUAUCGCCAAGCUUGCCUUCCACGGCAAGGAAAGACCCAUCCGGACACAGGACGGAGUCUUCAAUCUUGUAUCUUCGUAGUCUUGGAGUCCGGCAGACGAUGAUAGUCCGGCUGUCCGGACACCCCCUAGUCCAGGACUCCCUCACAAAUGUUACUGUUUUAACGGACUUUGUUAUUCUUGAUAUUCCUGAGGAUGAUAGUAUGUCUAUUAUUCUUGGAAGACCUUUCCUUAAUACUGCAGGGGCCGUUAUUGAUUGCACCAAAGGCAAUGUCACUUUUCAUGUUAAUGGCAAUGAACACACGGUGCAUUUUCCGAGGAAACAACCUCAAGUUUAUAGUAUCAACUCUAUUGGAAAAAUUCCAUCGAUUAUAUUUGGAGGUUUCGAAUUUCCUCUCCCUACUGUCAAGAAAAAGUAUGAUAUUCUUAUUGUUGGGGAUUUUCAUAUCCCCGUUGAGGUAACUUAGUGUCAUUCAAAAUUUCUCCGGUUCCGGGAUUAUUCGGAAUGAGUUUGUUAACAAGACUUGAUCAACCUUGUUAGUGGGUUCAUUUUGAUGAUCACGAGAUGGAUGAAACUAGAAGCACAACCUUCUGUACCCUCUUUAUAUUUUCUGUUAUUUAGUAGAAGUAAAGAAAAUAAUAUUUUUCUGUCUGUCUCCUGACUUAUCCGUGCAAUAUAAAAAUAUCCCAAAAAUAAAAGUCCUCAGAAUGCCAUGCCAAUUUAAUAUGAUUUUUUCGGGAAUAUUUGAGAAUUUACUGUGCAAAAAUUACCACAGGGGGAGCUGCCACCUGCCCACGAGGGUGGAGGGCACGCCCUACCCUCCUGGGCGCGCCCCCUGCCUCGUCGGCCCAUGGUGGCCCUCCUCCACUUAUUCAUGCACCCAUCUUCUUCCUCUACUUCACACAAACACGAAAAACAACUCAAGCAUGAGUUCCAGCCCCCGUUACUGUGAUUUUCGAUCUCCUUGCUCAAAGCACCUCUUGCAAAACUGCUUGGGGAGAUUGUUCCUUGGUAUGUGACUCCUCCAUUGGUCCAAUUAGUUUUUGCUCUAGUGUUUUAUUCUUUGCAAAUUUGUGCUGCAUAGGCGACCAUGUUCUUGAGCUUGCAUGUCAAAUUUAUAUGGUUCCAAGUAGUUCCAAUGCUUUAUAUAGGCCCUAGGCACUUGUGGGAGUUGUUACUAUCAAUUUUAUUGAAGUUGGUUCACCUUUAUUUGAAGUUACUAAAAAUUUCAGAAUUUUUUUAGAGGAAACAAUAUGCUUAGGAGGAUGUUCCAAGGUGGUCCUUCAAGGAAGCAUGGUCCUAGGCUUGCAAUACGUGAUGCUGACGAGGAACCACCAAGAGACGCUCCUGUGAGGCCAUGUGAAUGGCCAUCGGAAAAUUUUAUGAAUCAAGUGGGAACGAAAGAAGAAUUUAGCGCAUAUUUGAGUAACGCCGGUCUUGAGGACUUUGAAGCUGACAAAUGCCCCCAGUAUCAUGAUCUCACAAGUUCAUUUGUGAGGAGGUUUGAGUUUACAACUUCGCGAAAUUCUCCUUCAGUCAUGUUUGACCUUUAUGACAAAUCUUAUACCAUGGACUUAGAGGACUUUACUUCUGCUUGCAAACUUCCAUCUUGGGGUAAUGUCAGGGAUCCCCCUAAAUCUGAAUAUAGAGACUUUCUUGCAAGAAUAACUGUGGGGGAAUCGAGAGAUAUAACGCAAGCUACUAUAGGGAGCAUUCACUUUCCUGCUAUACAUUAUUUUGCUCUCUUCAUAGGUAGAUGUAUUAAUGCUAAGGAUGAAGCAUGUCACAUGUGUGUCCCUGACCUCAGUAUUCUCAAGAGUGCUGUGUUAGGAGACCAAUCUUAUCAUUUGGGAGCCAUUGUAGCUCGCAGGUUGCGUCAGAAUAGACAUAGCGGAGAUUUCUUUGGAGGAAUUUACGCAACCCGCUUAGCUAAUUUUCUUGAGGUAGACAUUCGUGAGGGUGACAUGGAGUUACCCCCUUCUUAUUUAGAUUUUGAUUCUAUGGUUUCCCACCAGUUUGUUGAGAGGACUGAACCACCUCUCCAGUAUCGACUAAUCUUUGACAGACGUCGUGUAGUCCAUAUUGCUCUUCCUACUCCUGCUUUCUUUGAUUCACAGGCAAAAAGAAGAUAUAUUAUUACCAGAGAGGAGGCAGAUGAGUAUGAAAGGAGAGUGGAGGCUGCUCGGCUCCACGCUACAGCUCAGGCGGAGAUAGCCGUUGCGUCACGGUACGACCCCAGCUUCACCUACGGGUAUCCGCGAGGCCAUCCCUGGCAAUAGACCAACUUAGGCCAAAAGCCUAAGCUUGGGGGAGUACGUAUUUCCUACCGGCAUACAUUCAUGUUCACACACACUUAUUGCUAGAUGUCGGUGCUCAUACGCUUUCACUGUAUUACCCAUGUUAGUUUAAAUUUCUUUUUCCUGCUUUCUUCUUGUGUGUUUGAUAAACUUUAAGAAAAACAAAAAAAUAGUUAGUUUACUUUCCAUGCUUGUAGUAGAAUUAAAAAGAAAACCCAAAAAUAUUUCCCGUUCUUCUUUUUACUUGUUGGGAGCUUUCCCGUGUAAAUAGUUUUUAUUUCUUUUUCUUUCUUUGGGGGUCGAGAAGACUAUAUUGAAAAUGCUUAGUGGCUCUUAUAUGCAUGAUUGUUUAUUUAAACUUAGAGCCCAUAUUACUUGCCUUCUCUCUUGAGUUGAAUGCUUGCAGAUUCCAGCUUAGUCCAAUGCACGUGCACUCUUAUUAUUAUCCACAUCGUUCGGCCGUGCAAGUGAAAGGCAAUAAUGACGAUAUAUGAUGAACUUAUUGGGAAAAGAAAAGCUGGUAUGAACUCGACCUCUCUUGUUUUUGUAAACAUGAUGAUCCAUCAUUCUUGAUUCAGCUAUUAUGAAGUAAACAUAUUUGCAAUGACAUUUAGAGAUUAUAGUUGCUUGUGCCAUGCUUGAUUAGCUAUGAGUUAUAAUGGUUUACCUUGCGUGCCAACAUGCUAUUAGAAUGAUUAUGAUGUGGUAUGAUGGGAUGGUAUCCUCCUUUAAAUGAAUUGAGUGACUCGACUUGGCACAUGUUCAUGCAUGUAGUUGAAUCCAAUCAACAUAGCCUUCAUGAUAUUUAUGUUCAUGGUGGAUUAUAUCCUACUCAUGCUUGUAUUCGGUGUGAAUUAAUUUUAAUGCAUGUUUACGACUGUUGUCGCUCUCUCAGUUGGUCGCUUCCCAGUCUUUUGCUAGCCUUCACCUGUACUAAGCGGGAAUACUGCUUGUGCAUCCAAACUCCUUAAACCCCAAAAUUAUUCCAUAUGAGUCCAUUAUACCUUCCUAUAUGUGGUAUUUACCUACCAUUCCAAGUAAAUUUGUAUGUGCCAAACUCUAAACCUUCAAAUAAACAUUCUAUUUUGCAUGCUCGAAUAAAUCAUAUGUCAACUAGAGCUUCCCUUAUCUUCUAUGUUAGGCGGGUUAUUCUCAAGAGGAGUGGACUCCGCUCCUCAUUCACGAGAAAAUGGCUGGUAUCCGGGAUGCCCAGUCCCAUGCUUCGUGCAAACUAAAUCAAAAUAAUUGCAAACAAAACUCCCCUUGGGACCCGCUGAAUGUUGGAGGCACUCGUUGUUUCGAGCAAGCCAUGGAUUGAUGCUUGUGGAGGAAGGGGAGUAUAAACUUUACCAUUCUGUUUGGGAACCGCCUAUAAUCUGUUUAGCAUGGAAGAUAUCAUCGUCUUUUAGUUGUUAUGUUGACAAUGAAAGUAUGCCGCUCAAAAUAUAAUUUAUCUGUAUUUCAAACUCGAGCUCUGGCACCUCUACAAAUCCCUGCUUCCCUCUGCGAAGGGCCUAUCUAUUUACUUUUAUGUUGAGUCAUCACCCUUCUUAUUAAAAAGCACCCGCUGGAGAGCACACUGUCGUUUGCAUUCAUUAUUAUUGGUUUAUAUUGGGUAUAACUUGACUGUAUCUCUUUUACCAUGAAUUACAAUGUUUAGUCAGUCCUUGAUCUUUAAAGGUGCUCUGCAUUUAUGUUUUGCGGUCUCAGAAAGGGCUAGCGAGAUACCAUUUUGUUAUAUCAUGUUAUGAUUAUUUUGAGAAAGUGUUGUCAUCCGAGUUUUAUUAUUAUGGCUCGCUAGCUGAUUAUGCUAUUGAUAUGAGUAAUUGUGAUACCUACGUGUUAUUGUGAGUAUGGUUAGUUCAUAAUAAUUGCUGAAACUUGAAUGCUGGCUUUUCAUGUUUACAACAACAAGAGCAAACAGAGUUUGUAAAAGUUUUUCUUUUUCUCUUUCAGUUUGUCAACUGAAUUUCUCGAGGACAAGCAAGGGUUUAAGCUUGGGGGAGUUGAUACGUCUCCGUCGUAUCUACUUUUCCAAACACUUUUGCCCUUGUUUUGGACUCUAACUUGUAUGAUUUGAAUGGAACUAACCCGGACUGACGCUGUUUUCAGCAGAACUGCCAUGGUGUUGUUUUUUGUGCAGAAAAUAAAGAUUCUCGAAAUGUCCUGAAACUCCACAGAACACCUUAGAAAAAAUAAAGAAAAAUCCUCGCAAAAGAUGAAGUCCAGGGGGCCCACACCCUGCUCACGAGGGUGGGGGCGCGCUCCCCUACCUCGUGGGCCCCCUGGUGGCCCUCCAACGCCAACUCCAACUCCAUAUAUUGGCUUUAGGGGAGAAAAAAAUAAGAGAGAAGAAAUCAUAGCAUUUUACGAUACAGAGCCGCCGCCAAGCCCUAAUCUCUCUCGGGAGGGCUGAUCUGGAGUGCCAUGAUUUCAGAUCUGAACCUAUUAUGUUUUCAUGAUUAUAUUUGUGUUCUAGAUCCUAUCUUGCAAGUCUAUAGUCACCUACUAUGUGUUAUGAUCCGGCAACCCCGAAGUGACAAUAAUCGGGACCACUCCCGAUGAUGACCAUAGUUUGAGGAGUUCAUGUAUUCACUAUGUGCUAAUGCUUUGUUCUAGUUCUCUAUUAAAAGGAGGCCUUAAUAUCCCUUAGUUUCCAAUAGGACCCCGCUGCCACGGGAGGGUAGGACAAAAGAUUUCAUGCAAGUUCUUUUCCAUAAGCACGUAUGACUAUAUACGGAAUACAUCCCUACAUUACAUUGAUGAACUGGAGCUAGUUCUGUGUCACCCUAUGUUAUGACUGCUACAUGAUGAACCACAUCCGGCAUAAUUAUCCAUCGCUAAUCCGGUGCCUACGAGUUUUCCAUAUACUGGUUUCACUUAUUUACUUUUCCGUUGCUAUUGUUACAAUCUUUACAAAAUACCAAAAACAUUACUUUUACUGUCUUUACUUUUGUUACCGUUACCACCACUAUCAUAUUACUUUGCUACUAAACGUUUUGCUGCAGAUACUAAGUUUCCAGGUGUGGUUGAAUUGACAACUCAGCUGCUAAUACUUGAGAAUAUUCUUUGGCUCCCCUUGUGUCGAAUCAAUAAAUUUGGGUUGAAUACUCUACCCUCGAAAACUGUUGCGAUCCCCUAUACUUGUGGGUUAUCAGCGAGUUCUUUGUUUGUUUGUGUAGGUGCGUGGGACUUUUGAGGAUCCUCCUACUGGAUUGAUACCUUGAUUCUGAAAAACUGAGGGAAAUACUUAUGCUACUAUUGCUGCAUCACCCUUUCCUCUUCAAGGAAAACCAACGCAAGCUCAAGACAUAGCAGUAUCCAGAAUGAGACUCAAAGUCAUCCGGAUCGGUGUCAAAGCUUGCAUCGACGUAACCCUUUACGACGAACUCUUUAUCACCUCCAUAACAGAGAAACAUUUCCUUAGUCCUCUUAGGUAUCUAAGGUUAAUUUUGACCGUUGUCUAGUGAUCCACUCCUGGAUCACUAUUGUAUCCCCUUGCCAGACUCAUGGCAAGGCACACGACAGGUCUGGUACACAGGAUGGCAUACUUUAUAGAACCUAUGGCUGAGGCAUAGGGAAUGACUUUCAUUCUCUCUCUAUCUUCUGCCGUGUCCAGGCUUUGAGUCUUACUCAACUUCAUACCUUGCAACACAGGCAAGAACCCUUUCUUUGACUAGUCCAUUUUGAACUUCUUCAAAACUUUGUCAAGGUAUGUGCUUUGUGUAAGUCCUAUUAAGCGUCUUGAUCUAUCUCUAUAGAUCUUGAUGCCCAAUAUAUAAGCAGCUUCACUGAGGUCUUUCAUUGAAAAAUUCUUAUCCAAGUAUCUUUUUAUGCUAUCCAGAAAUACUAUAUCAUUUCCAAUCAGCAAUAUGUCAUCCACAUAUAAUAUUGGAAAUGCUACAGAGCUCCUGCUCCCACUCACUUUCUUGUAAAUACAGGCUUCACAAUGGUCUGUAUAAAAUCAAAAUGCUUUGAUCACCUCAUCAAAGCAUUUAUUCAAACUCCGAGAUGCUUGCACCAGUCCAUAGAUGGAUCGCUGGAGCUUGCACACUUUGUUAGCACCUUUAGGAUUGACAAAAACUUUCGGCUGCAUCAUAUACAACUCUUCAUUAAGAAACUCGUUAAGGAAUGCAGUUUUUGACAUCUAUUUGCCAGAUUUCAUAAUCAUAAAAUGCGGCAAUUGUUAACAUGAUUCGAACAGACAUAAGCAUCGCUAGGGGUGAGAAAGUCUCAUCAUAGUUAACCCCUUGAACUUGUCGCAAACCUUUUGCAACAAGUAGAGCUUUGUACACAUCGAUAUUAGCGUCAGUGUUCGUCUUCCUAUUAAAGAUCCAUUUAUUGUUAAUGGCUUGUCGAUCAUCGGGAAAAUCCACCAUAGUACAUACCUUGUUCUCAUACAUGGAUCAUAUCUCAGAUUUCGUGGCCUCAAGCCAUUUAUCAGAAUCCGGGCUCAUCAUAGCUUCUUCAUAGUUCAUAGGAUCCCCGUUUUCCAACACCAUAACUUCCAGGACAGGAUUACCGUACCAUUCUAGUGUGAUAUGUGUUCUUGUCCACUCACGAGGUUUAGUACUAACUUGAUCUAAAGUUUCAUGAUCCUCAUCAUUAGAUUCCUCUCUAGUUGGUGUAGGCAUCAUGGGAAUAGUUUUCUCUGGUGUGCUAUUUUCCAAUUCGAGAGAAGGUACAAUUACCUCAUCAAGUUCUACUUUCCUCCCACUCACUUCUUUCGAGAGAAACUCCUUCUCUAGAAAGGACCCAUUCUUGGCAACAAAGAAUUUUUGCGUUCGGGUCUAUGGUAGAAGGUAUACCCAAUAGUUUCUUUCGGGUAUCCCAUGAAGACUCACUUCUCCGCUUUGAGUUUGAGCUUGUCAGGCUGAAGCCAUUUGACAUAAGUGUCACAUCCCCAAACUUUAAGAAACGAUAGUAGGUUUCUUGCCAAACCACAGUUCAUAUGAUGUCGUCUCAAUGGAUUUAGACGGUGCCCUAUUUAACGUGAAUGCGACUGUCUCUAAUGCAUAACCCCAAAACGGUAGUGGUAAAUCGGUAAGAGACGUCAUAGAAUGCACCAUAUCUAAUAAAGUACAGUUACGACGUUCGGACACACCAUUACGUUGUGGUGUUCCAGGUAGCUUGAGUUGUGAAACAAUUCCACAUUGUUUUAAAUGAAGGCCAAACUCGUAACUCGCCUCCGCGAUCAAAUUGUAAAAAAUUUAUUUUCUUGUUACGAUGAUUCUCCACUUCACUAUGAAAUUCUUUGAACUUUUCAAAUGUUUCAGACUUCUGUUUCAUCAAGAAGACAUACCCAUACCUACUCAAAUCAUGUGUGAAGGUCAGGAAAUAAUGAUACCCGCCGCGUGCUUCAACACUCAUAGGACCGCAUACAUUGAUAUGUAUUAUUUUCAAGAAGUCAUUAGCUCACUCCAUUGUUCCGGAGAACGGAGUUUUAGUCAUCUUGCCCAUGAGGCAUGGUUCACAAGUCUCAAGUGAUUCCAAAAGUCCAUCCACAUGGAGUUUCUUCAUGCACUUUACACCAAUAUGACCUAAACGGAACUGCCACAAAUAUGUUGCACUUAUCAUUAUCAAUUUUGCAUCUUUUGGCAUCAAUAUUAUGAAAAUGUGUAUCACUACGAUCAUGAUUCAAUAAACCAUUCACAUUGGGUGUAUGAUCAUAGAAGGUUUUACUCAUGUAAACAAAACAACAAUUAUUCUCUAACUUAGAUGAAUAAUCGUAUUGCAAUAAACACGAUCCAAUCAUGUUCAUGCUCAAUGCAAACACCAAAUAACAUUUAUUUAGGCUCAACUCUAAUACCGAAGGUAGAGGGAGUGUGCGAUGGUGAUCAUAUCAAUCUUGGAAAACACUUCCAACACACAUCGUCACCUCGCCCUUAACUAGUCUCCAUUUAUUCUGCACCUCCUGUUUCGAGUUACUAAUCUUAUCAACUGAACCAAUAUCAAAUACCCAGGGGCUACUAUGAGCACUAGUAAGGUACACAUCAAUAACAUGUAUAUCAAAUAUACCUUUGUUCACUUUGCCAUCCUUCUUACCCGCCAAGUAUUUGGGGCAGUUCCGCUUCUAGUGACCAUUCCCUUUGCAGUAGAAUCACUCAGUUUCAGGCUUAGUCUAGCUUUGGGCUUCUUCACGGGAGUGACAACUUGCUUGCCAUUCUUCUUGAAGUUCCCGUUGCCCUUUUUCUUGAAACUAGUGGUCUUGUUAACCAUCAACACUUGAUGCUCUUUCUUGAUUUCUACCUUCGCCGAUUCUAGCAUCGCGAAGAGCUCGAGAAUCAUUUUCGUCAUCCCUUGCAUAUUAUAGUUUAUUACCAAGUUCUAGUAGCUUGGUGAUAGUGACUAGAGAACUCUGUCAAUCACUAUCUUAUCUAGAACAUUUACUCCCACUUGAUUCAAGCGAUUGUAGUACCCAGGCAUUCUGAACACAUGCUCACUGGCUAAGCUAUUCUCCUCGAUCUUUAGGCAAAGUAUUUGUCAGAGGUCUCAUACCUCUUGAUAUGGGCAUGAGUCUGAAAUACCAAUUUCAGCUCUUGGAACAUCUCAUAUGCUCCAUGGCAUUCAAAACAUUUUUGAAUUCCCAGUUCUAAGUUGUAAAGCAUGGCGCACUAAACUAUUAAGUAGUCAUCAUAUCGAGCUUGCCAAAUAUCUAUAUCAUCUGCAUCUGCUCCUGCAAUAGGUGUGUCACCUAGCGGUGCAUCAAGGAUAUAAUUCUUCUGUGCAGCAAUGAGGAUAAUCCUCAUAUCAUGGACCGAGUCUGCAUCAUUUCUACUAUCAUCUUUCAACUUAGUUUUCUCUAGAACAUAUCAAAAAAUAGGGGAGCUAUAUUGCGAGCUAUAGAUCUACAACAUAGAUAUGCAAAACUAUUAAGACUAAGUUCAUGAUAAAUUAAGUUCAACUAAUAAAAUUACUAAUGAAGUCCCUCUUAAAAUUAACAUCCCUCAAGUUAUCUAAGUGAUACAUGAUUCAGAUCAACUAACCCAUGUCUGAUCAUCAUGUGAGAUGGGGUAGUCAUCAAUGGUGAACAUCUCUAUGUUGAUCAUAUCUACUAUUUGACUCAGGUUCGACCUUUCAGUCUCCAGUGUUCCAAGACCAUGCUUUUACAUGCUAGGCUUGUCAAGUUUAACCAAGUAUUCUGCAUGUGCAAAACUGUCUUACACCCGUUGUAUGUGAACGUAGAGUCUAUCACACCCGACCAUCACGAGGUGCUUCGAAACGACGAACUUUAGCAAUAGUGCAUACUCGGAGAGAACAUUUAUAUCUUGAAAUUUAGUGAAGGGAUCAUCUUAUAAUGCUAUAGCCAUUCUAAGCAAAAUAAGAUGCGUAAAGGAUAAACAUCACAUGCAAUCAAAAUAUGUGACAUGAUAUGGCCAUCAUCAUCUUGUGCUUUUAAUCUCCAUCUCCAAAGCAUCAUCAUGAUCUCCAUCAUCACUCGCUCAACACCUUGAUCUCCAUCAUAGCGCCGAAGUCGUCUCGCCAACUGUUGCUUCUACAACUGCUAACGCAUAGCAAUAAAGUAAAUCAAUUGCAUGGCGCUUUCAUUUCAUACAAUAAUUAAGGGACAACCCUAAGGCUCCUGUCGGUUGUCGAUAUUUACAAAACAUGGUCAUAUCAUACAACAAUGUAUAUCACAUCACGUCUUGACCAUAUCACAUCACAACAUACCCUACAAACACAAGUUAGACGUCCUCUACUUUGUUGUUGCAAGUUUUGUGUGGCUGCUACGGGUUUCUAGCAAGAACCGUUCUUACCUACAGCAAAAAUCACAACGGUGAUUUAUCAAGUUUGUUGUUUUAACCUUUUUCAAACACUGGUCGCAGUCAAACUUGAUUCAACUAAAGUAGGAGAAACAGACACCCGUUAACCACCUUUAUGUUAAACAAGUUGCAUGUCAGUCGGUGGAACCGAUCUCAUGUGCGUGGACAUGUAAGUUUGGUCCGGGCCGCUUCAUCCCACAAUACCACCGAAUCAAAAUAAGACGUUGGUGGUAGGCAGUAUGACUAUCACCACCCACAACUCUAUGUGUUCUACUCGUGCAUAUCAUCUACGCAUAGACCUGACUCGGAUGCCACUGUUGGGGAAUGUUGCAUGGAAAACAAAAAAAUUCUACACACACACAAGAUCUAUCCAUGGAGAUGCAUAUCUACAAGAGGGGAAGUGCAUCUACGCACCCUUGUAGGUCGCUAAGCGGAAGGUCUUAUCACGCGGUUGAUGUAGUCGUACUCUUUGCGAUCCGAUCAUGAUCCAACCGAUCUAGUGUGGAACGGAUGGCACAUCCGAGUUUAGCACAUGUGCGGCUCGAUGAUGUCUCCACCUUCUUGAUCCAGCAAGCGAGAGAGGAUAAAUAGAUGGGAUCAUAACCAACAUGACGGCGUGGUGGUGAUGGUGGUGGUGGAGCACCGAUAAUGCUUUGCUAAGCGUCGCCGGGAUGAGGCGGUGGAACUACGGAGUAACAGGAGAGAGAGGGGCGCCAAGGGCUUGGUGUGUGCUCCUGGGGCGCCCCUCCCCUCUAUAUAUAGGUGGAGGUGCGUGGGAAACAGCCCUCCAAGCCCUAGGGCGCAGCUAAGGGGGAGAGGACUUGGACUCCAAGUCCAAUCCUACUCCUACUAGUAGAACGACCGCGCGUUGCUAUGGGCUACAAUGCAUAUAUUUGAGUGAAUCAACAACAAUCCUAUAAUAACCUUCUCUCUCUCUGCUCUUCUCAGUCUCUCCCUUCCUCCAAUCACCCUUCCUCAACUCACACUUGAUAGAAGAGCAUAUAAGUCAUGAAUAUUUUGUAAAGUAAAACUAAGGUCUCUAAAUUCAAUGGACCACUCAGAAUCCAAUGUUGACAAUCAGACAUGUACCAUCCCCAUGCCAGAUCGGCCCUGCAGCCCCGAGCACCAUUUUAAUCAUGUAUGUGUGUGUGCGCCGUUGUCCUUGCUCUGAUGGAUACCUGUCACUGCCACGCAGAGGGCACACACACGACCGUGUUACUGUACAAUGCCGCUGCCUUGCUCGUCGUAAUUUUUCUCGAUGCCAUCAUCGGCCUUUACCCCGCCUCCAAAUAUGUAUUGCCACGAUGGAACAGCACCAGCUCGCACCAACAGUCACCCAUGGACACCAUGCAUCUGAACAAGAUUUAUUCCUUGUCCAUCGGUAUAUCCCAACAUUAUCUACAAGUUUUGGUAAUAUGGAUCUUAAUAUAACUAUGGAAAUCCAAUACAUUCAAAUAACCUACAUGCAACUCAAAGACACGGUCUACACUCUGAUGAUAACCGGGUUGGGAAAUGAGAUUUAAAUAAUGAACUGAGAUUCCUUCAUCAUCUUUAGAAACUAAAGUCGAAGUCUUGCUCUCUCUAUGUUAGCUGACUAAAUUUAUAAGCAUUGCGUCACCACUGCGGAACCUAGAGGGAUACCUCCGUGCCGGCUGCGGUCGUUUUGGCGGAGCCGAGCGGGCGCCGUCAUGCUGCUCGUUGGUCUGGACCCGAAUGUUGAUUGUUGCAGCGACAAGAUCAGGGGCUUGGGCUAGGGAAUUUGAAAACUUGAGUGUACACUCGAGUAGAAUAUCCACCCUCAAAUGACAGCAUGUGCUCUGUAAUGAGCAUAUCUAGCACCACUAAAAUUUGCAGGAUAAAAGCAAAAUUACUCUGCAUUACAUAGGAGACGACACAGUUUUGCCCAAUUUACACGUGAUGUCUACUACGUAGCUUUAUUCUUGUAGACACGUGUUGGGCCUCCAAGCGUAGAGUUUUGUAGGAUAGUAGCAAUUUUCCUCAAGUGGAUGACCUAAGGUUUAUCAAUCCAUGAGAGGUGUAGGAUGAAGAUGGUCUCUCUCAAAUGACCCUGCAACCAAAUACAAGAAAUCUCUUGUGUCCCCAACACACCAAAUACAAUGGAAAAUUGUAUAGGUGCACUAGUUCGGCGAAAAGAUGGUGAUAAAAGUGUAAUAUGGAUGGUAGAAAUAUAUUUUUAUAAUCUAAAUAAAUAAACACAGCAAGAUAGCAAAUAGUAAACGGGCACAAAAACGGUGUUGCAAUGCUUAAAAAAUGAGGCCUAGGGUUCGUACUUUCGCUAGUGCAACCUCUCAACAAUGCUAACAUAGUUGGAUCAUAUGAUUAUCCCUCAAAGUGCAAUAAAGAAUCACUCCCGAGUUCCUAUUAGCGGAGAACAAAAGAUAGGAAUUGUUUGUAGGGCACGAAACCAACUCAAAGCUAUUCUUUCUGUUCGAUCUAUUCAAGAGUUCAUACUAAAAUGACACAAAGCUUUUUUUCCAUUCGAUCUAUCCUAGAGUUCGUACAAGAAUAACACCAAAGCAAAUUCAUAUUCAUAAUACGCGAUCCACACAAAGAACUAUAAAGAGACCCCAAAGUUUCCGUCGGAGAAAAAUGUUCAUCAACCCCUAUGCACAGAUUACCCCAAUAUCACCGCGGGAAUCCGAGAGUUGAAUGCCAUAACACAUAUCAAGUGAAUCAAUAAGAUACCUCAUUGUCACCUCAAGUAUUCAUACUGCAAGACAUAUAUCAUGUGUUCUCAUCUAUGAAUAUUCAAUCCGACAAGAUAAAACUUUGAAGGGUAAAGAUUCAAUUCAUCAUAACAAGAGUAUAGAGGGGAGAAACUGUUGGAAAUAUGCCCUAGAGGCAAUAAUAAAAGGAUUAUUAUUAUAUUUCCUUGUUCAUGAUAAUUGUCUUUAUUCAUGCUAUAAUUGUAUUAUCCGGAAAUCGUAAUACACGUGUGAAUAGAUAGACCAUAAUAUGUCCCUAGUAAGCCUCUAGUUGACUAGCUCGUUGAUCAACAGAUAGUCAUGGUUUCCUGACUAUGGACAUUAGAUGUCAUUGAUAAUGGGAUCACAUCAUUAGGAGAAUGAUGUGAUGGACAAGACCCAAUCCUAAGCAUAGCACAAGAUCCUGUAGUUCGUUUUGCUAGAGCUUUUACAAUGUCAAGUAUCUUUUCCUUAGACCAUGAGAUCGUGUAACUCCCGGAUACCGUAGGAGUGCUUUGGGUGUACCAAAUGUCACAAUGUAACUGGGUGACUAUAAAGGUGCACUACAGGUAUUUCCGAAAGUGUCUGUUGGGUUGACACGGAUCGAGACUGGGAUUUGUCACUCUGUAUGACGGAGAGGUAUCUCUGGGCCCACUCGGUAAUGCAUCAUCAUAAUGAGCUCAAAGUGACCAAGUGUCUGGUCACGGGAUCAUGCAUUACGGUACGAGUAAAGUGACUUGCCGGUAACGAGAUUGAACGAGGUAUUGGGAUACCGAUGAUCGAAUCUAGGCCAAAUAACGUACCGAUUGACAAAGGGAAUUGUAUACGGGGUUGCUUAAAUCCUCGACAUCGUGGUUCAUCCGAUGAGAUCAUAGAGGAGCAUGUGGGAGCCAACAUGGGUAUCCAGAUCCCUCUGUUGGUUAUUUACCGGAGAGCCGUCUCGGUCAUGUCUACGUGUCUCCCGAACCCGUAGGGUCUACACACUUAAGGUUCGGUGAUGCUAGGGUUGUAGAGAUAUGAGUAUGCAGCAAACCGAAAGUUUUUCGGAGUCCCGGAUGAGAUCCCGGACGUCACGAGGAGUUCCGGAAUGGUCCGGAGGUAAAGAAUAAUAUAUAGGAAGUGCAGUUUCGGCCAUCGGGAGAGUUUCGGGGGUCACCGGUAUUGUAAUGGGACCACCGGAAGGGUCCCGGGGGUCCAUCGGGUGGGGCCACCUAUCGCGGAGGGCCCCGUGGGCUGAAGUGGGGAGGGNNNNNNNNNNNNNNNNNNNNNNNNNNNNNNNNNNNNNNNNNNNNNNNNNNNNNNNNNNNNNNNNNNNNNNNNNNNNNNNNNNNNNNNNNNNNNNNNNNNNNNNNNNNNNNNNNNNNNNNNNNNNNNNNNNNNNNNNNNNNNNNNNNNNNNNCGGCCCCCCUCUGCGCCUAGGGUUGGGAACCCUAGGGGAGGGGGCGCCUCCACUUGCCUUGGGGGGCACUCCACCCACCUUGGCCGCCGCCCCCCUAGAGAUCCCAUCUCUAGGGCCGGCGCCCCCCUGGGGGCCUAUAUAAAGGAGGGGGGAGGGAGGGUAGCCGCUCCCUGAAGUCUUGGCGCCUCCCUCUCCCCUGCUACACCUCUCCCUCUCGCAGAAGCUCGGUGAAGCUCUGCCGGAACUCUGCUGCAUCCACCACCACGCCGCCGUGCUGCUGGAUCUUCAUCAACCUCUCCCUCCUCCUUGCUAGAUCAAGGUGCAGGAGACGUCAUCCGCUCCGUAUGUGUGUUGAACACGGAGGUGCUGUCCGUUCGGCACUUGGUCAUCGGUGAUUUGGAUCACGACGAGUACGACUCCCUCAACCUCGUUCUCUUGAAUGCUUCCGCUCGCGAUCUACAAGGGUAUGUAGAUGCACUCCCCUCUCUCGUUGCUGGAUGAACUCAUAGAUUGAUCUUUGUGAACGUAGGAAAAUUUUAUUUUAUGCAACGUUCCCCAACUGUGGCAUCAUGAGCUAGGUCUAUGCGUAGUUCUCUAUUGCACGAGUAGAACACAAAUUUGUUGUGGGCGUAGAUGUUGUCAACUUUCUUGCCACUACUAGUCUUAUUUUGCUUCAGCGGUAUUGUGGGAUGAAGCGGCCCGGACCGACCUUACACGUACGCUUACGUGAGACAGGUUCCACCGACUGACAUGCACUAGUUGCAUAAGGUGGCUAGCGGGUGUUUGUCUCUCCCACUUUAGUUGGAGCGGAUUCGAUGAAAAGGGUCCUUAUGAAGGGUAAAUAGAAGUUGACAAAUCACAUUGUGGCUUUUUUGUAGGUAAGAAAACGUUCUUGCUAGAACCCUAUUGCAGCCACGUAAAAGAUGCAACAACAAUUAGAGGACGUCUAACUUGUUUUUGCAGCAAUUGCCUUAUGAUGUGAUAUGGUCAAAAGUUGUGAUGAAUGAUGAAUGAUAUAUUGUGAUGUAUGAGAUCAUGUUCUUGUAAUAGGAAUCACGACUUGCAUGUCGAUGAGUAUGACAACCGGCAGGAGCCAUAGGAGUUGUCUUAAUUAUUGUAUGACCUGCGUGUCAAUGAUUUAACGCCAUGUAAUUACUUUACUUUAUUGCUAAAAUGUUAGCCAUAGUAGUAGAAGUAAUAGUUGGCGAGCAACUUCAUGGAGACAUGAUGAUGGAGAUCAUGGUGUCAUGCCGGUGACGAAGAUGAUCAUGGAUCCCCGAAGAUGGAGAUCAAAGGAGCUAUAUGAUAUUGGCCAUAUCAUGUCACUACUAUAUAAUUGCAUGUGAUGUUUAUUAUAUUUAUGCAUCUUGUUUACUUAGAACAACGGUAGUAAAUAAGAUGAUCCCUUAUAAUAAUUUCAAGAAAGUGUUCUCCCCUAACUGUGCGCCGUUGCUACAGUUCGUCGUUUCGAAGCACCACGUGAUGAUCGGGUGUGAUAGAUUCUUAUGUUCACAUACAACGGGUGUAAGACAGGUUUACACAUGCAAAAACACUUAGGGUUAACUUGACGAGCCUAGCAUGUACAGACAUGGCCUCGGAACACAGAGACCGAAAGGUCGAACAUGAGUCGUAUGGAAGAUACGAUCAACAUGGAGAUGUUCACCGAUGAUGACUAGUCUGUCUCACGUGAUGAUCGGACACGGCCUAGUCGACUCGGAUCAUGUAACACUUAGAUGACUAGAGGGAUGUCUAAUCUGAGUGGGAGUUCAUUAGAUAAUUUGAUUAGAUGAACUUAAUCAUCAUGAACUUAGUCUAAAACCUUUGCAAAUAUGUCUUGUAGAUCAAAUGGCCAACGCUCAUGUCAACAUGAACUUCAACGCGUUCCUAGAGAAAACAAAGCUGAAAGAUGAUGGCAGCAACUAUACAGACUGGGUCUGGAACCUGAGGAUCAUCCUCAUAGCUGCCAAGAAAGCAUAUGUCCUAGAAGGACCGUUAGGUGAAGCACCCAUCCCAGAGAACCAAGACGUUAUGAACGCUUGGCAGUCACGUGCUGAUGAUUACUCCCUCGUUCAGUGCGGCAUCCUUUACAUCCUAGAACCGGGGCUCCAAAAGCGUUUUGAGCAACACGGAGCAUAUGAGAUGUUCAAGGAGCUAAAAAUGGUUUUCCAAGCUCAUGCCCGGGUCGAGAGAUAUGAAGUCUCCGACAAGUCCUACAGUUGUAAGAUGGAGGAAAAUAGUUUUGUUAGUGAGCACAUACUCAAAAUGUCUGGGUUGCACAACCGCCUGUCCCAGCUGGACAUUAACCUCCCGGACGAGGCGGUCAUUGACAGAAUCCUUCAGUCACUCCCACCGAGCUACAAGAGCUUUGUGAUGAACUACAAUAUGCAGGGGAUGGUGAAAACUAUUCUUGAAGUAUUUUCAAUGCUGAAGUCGGUAGAGGUAGAAAUCAAGAAAGAACAUCAAGUGUUGAUGGUCAAUAAAACCACCAAGUUCAAGAAGGGCAAGGGUAAGAAGAACUUCAAGAAGGACGGCAAGGAUGUUGCCGCGCCCGGUAAGCCAGUUGCCGGGAAGAAGUCAAAGAAUGGACCCAAGCCUGAGACUGAGUGCUUUUAUUGCAAAGGGAAGGGUCACUGGAAGUGGAACUGCCCCAAAUACUUAGCAGACAAGAAGGCCGGCAACACUAAAGGUAUAUGUCAUAUACAUGUAAUUGAUGUGUACCUUACCAGUACUCGUAGUAACUCCUGGAUAUUUGAUACCGAUGUCGUUGCUCAUAUUUGUAACUCACAGCAGGAGCUGCGGAAUAAGCGGAGACUGGCGAAGGACGAGGUGAUGAUGCGCAUCGGGAAUGGUUCCAAGGUCGAUGUGAUCACCGUCGGCACGCUACCUCUACAUUUACCUACGGGAUUAGUUUUAAACCUCGAUAAUUGUUAUUUAGUGCCAAGUUUGAGCAUGAACAUUGUAUCUGGAUCUCGUUUGAUACGAGAUGGCUACUCAUUUAAAUCCGAGAAUAAUGGUUGUCCUAUUUAUAUGAGAGAUAUGUUUUAUGGUCAUGCCCCGAUGGUCAAUGGUUUAUUCUUAAUGAAUCUCGAGCGUAAUGUUACACAUAUUCAUAGUGUGAAUACCAAAAGAUGUAAAGUUGAUAACGAUAGUCCCACAUACUUGUGGCACUGCAGCCUUGGUCACAUUGGUGUCAAGCGCAUGAAGAAGCUCCAUGCUAAUGGACUUUUAGAGUCUCUAGAUUAUGAAUCGUUUGACACAUGCGAGCCAUGCCUCAUGGGCAAGAUGACCAAGACUCCGUUCUCCGGAACAAUGGAGCGAGCAACCAACUUGUUGGAAAUCAUACAUACUGAUGUGUGCGUUCCAAUGAGCAUUGAGGCUCGCGGAGGAUAUCGUUAUGUUCUCACUCUCACUGAUGACUUUAGUAGAUAUGGGUAUGUCUACUUAAUGAAACACAAGUCUGAGACCUUUGAAAAGUUCAAGGAAUUUCAGAAUGAGGUAGAGAAUCAACGUGACCGAAAGAUAAAGUUCCUACGAUCAGAUCGUGGAGGAGAAUAUUUAAGUCACGAAUUUGGUACGCACUUAAGGAAAUGUGGAAUCGUUUCACAACUCACGCCGCCUGGAACACCUCAGCGUAAUGGUGUGUCCGAACAUCGUAAUCGCACUCUAUUGGAUAUGGUGCGGUCUAUGAUGUCUCUUACCGAUUUACCGCUAUCAUUUUGGGGAUACGCUCUAGAGACAGCUACAUUCACUUUAAAUAGGGCUCCAUCUAAAUCCGUUGAGAUGACACUGUAUGAAUUAUGGUUUGGGAAGAAACCUAAGAUGUUGUUUCUAAAAGUUUGGGGAUGCGAUGCUUAUGUCAAGAAACUUCAACCUGAAAAGCUCGAACCCAAGUCGGAAAAAUGCAUCUUCAUAGGAUACCCUAAGGAAACCAUUGGGUAUACCUUCUAGUUAAGAUCCGAGGGCAAGAUCUUUGUUGCCAAGAACGGAUCCUUUCUGGAAAAAGAGUUUCUCUCGAAAGAAGUAAGUGGGAGCAAAGUAGAACUUGAUGAAGUACUACCUCUUGAACCGGAAAGUAGUGCAGCUCAGGAAAAUGUUCCUGUGGUGCCUACACCAUCUGGAGAGGAAAUUAAUAAUCAAGGUACUUCGGAUCAAGUUGCUACCGAACUUCAUAGGUCCACAAGGACACAUUCCACACCAGAGUGGUAUGGCAACCCUGUCCUGGAAAUCAUGUUGCUAGACAACGGUGAACCUUCGAACUAUGAAGAAGUGAUGGCGGGCCCAGAUUCCAACAAUUGGCUUGAAGCCAUGCAAUCCGAGAUAGAAUCCAUGUAUGAAAACAAAGUAUGGACUUUGACAGACUUGCCCGAUGAUCGGCGAGCGAUAGAAAACAAAUGGAUCUUUAAGAAGAAGACGGACGCGGAUGGUAAUGUUACCAUCUAUAAAGCUCGACUUGUCACUAAGGGUUAUCGACAAGUUCAAGGGGUUGACUAUGAUGAGACAUUCUCUCCCGUAGCGAAGCUGAAGUCCGUCCAAAUCAGGUUAGCAAUUGCCGCAUACUAUGAUUAUGAGAUAUGGCAGAUGGACGUCAAAACGGCAUUCCUUAACGGGCAUCUUAAGGAAGAACUGUAUAUGAUGCAGCCGGAGGGUUUUGUCGAUCCUAAGAAUGCUAACAAAGUAUGCAAGCUCCAGCGAUCCAUUUAUGGGCUGGUGCAAGCAUCUCGGAGUUGGAACAUUCGCUUUGAUGAGAUGAUCAAAGCGUUUGGGUUUAUGCAGACUUAUGGAGAUGCUUGCGUUUACAAGAAAGUGAGUGGGAGCUCUGUAGCAUUUCUCAUAUUAUAUGUAGAUGACAUACUCUUGAUGGGAAAUGAUAUAGAACUUUUGGACAACAUUAAGGCCUACUUGAACAAGUGUUUUUCAAUGAAGGACCUUGGAGAAGCUGCUUACAUAUUAGGCAUCAAGAUCUAUAGGGAUAGAACAAGACGCCUCAUAGGUCUUUCACAAAGCACAUACCUUGAUAAGAUUUUGAAGAAGUUCAAGAUGGAUCAGUCCAAGAAAGGGUUCUUGCCUGUAUUGCAAGGUGUGAGAUUGAGCUCGGCUCAAUGCCCGACCACGGCAAAAGAUAAAUAAGAGAUGAGUGUCAUCCCCUAUGCUUCAGCCAUAGGAUCUAUUAUGUAUGCCAUGAUGUGUACCAGACCUGAUGUAAACCUUGCCGUAAGUUUGGUAGGAAGGUACCAAAGUAAUCCCGGCAAGAAACACUGGACAGCGGUCAAGAAUAUCAUGAAGUACCUGAAAAGGACAAAGGACAUGUUUCUCGUUUAUGGAGGUGACGAAGAGCUCGUCGUAAAGGGUUACGUCGAUGCUAGCUUUGACACGGAUCUGGAUGACUCUAAGUCACAAACCGGAUACGUGUAUAUGUUGAAUGGUGGAGCAGUAAGCUGGUGCAGCUGCAAACAGAGCGUCAUGGCGGGAUCUACAUGUGAAGUGGAGUACAUGGCAGCCUCGGAGGCAGCGCAUGAAGCAAUUUGGGUGAAGGAGUUCAUCACCGACCUAGGAGUCAUACCCAAUGCGUCGGGGCCGAUCAAACUCUUCUGUGACAACACUGGAGCUAUUGCCCUUGCCAAGGAGCCCAGGUUUCACAAGAAGACCAGGCACAUCAAGCGUCGUUUCAACUCCAUCCUUGAAAAUGUUCAAGAUGGAGACAUAGAUAUUUGCAAAGUACAUACGGAUCUAAAUGUCGCAGAUCCGUUGACUAAACCUCUUUCGCGACCAAAACAUGAUCAACACCAGAACUCUAUGGGUGUUCGAUUCAUCACAAUGUAACUAGAUUAUUGACUCUAGUGCAAGUGGGAGACUGUUGGAAAUAUGCCCUAGAGGCAAUAAUAAAAGGAUUAUUAUUAUAUUUCCUUGUUCAUGAUAAUUAUCUUUAUUCAUGCUAUAAUUGUAUUAUCCGGAAAUCGUAAUACACGUGUGAAUACAUAGACCAUAAUAUGUCCCUAGUAAGCCUCUAGUUGACUAGCUCGUUGAUCAACAGAUAGUCAUGGUUUCCUGACUAUGGACAUUAGAUGUCAUUGAUAACGGGAUCACGUCAUUAGAAGAAUGAUGUGAUGGAAAAGACCCAAUCCUAAGCAUAGCACAAGAUCCUAUAGUUCGUUUUGCUAGAGCUUUUACAAUGUCAAGUAUCUUUUCCUUAGACCAUGAGAUCGUGUAACUCCUGGAUACCGUAGGAGUGCUUUGGGUGUACCAAACGUCACAACGUAACUGGGUGACUAUAAAGGUGCACUACAGGUAUUUCCGAAAGUGUCUGUUGGGUUGACACGGAUCGAGACUGGGAUUUGUCACUCCGUAUGACGGAGAGGUAUCUCUGUGCCCACUCGGUAAUGCAUCAUCAUAAUGAGCACAAAGUGACCAAGUGUCUGGUCACGGGAUCAUGCAUUACGGUACGAGUAAAGUGACUUGCCGGUAACGAGAUUGAACGAGGUAUUGGGAAACCGAUGAUCGAAUCUCGGGCAAGUAACGUACCGAUUGACAAAGGGAAUUGUAUACGGGGUUGCUUAAAUCCUCGACAUCGUGGUUCAUCCGAUGAGAUCAUCGAGGAGCAUGUGGGAGCCAACAUGGGUAUCCAGAUCCCGCUGAUGGUUAUUGACCGGAGAGCCAUCUCGGUCAUGUCUACGUGUCUCCCGAACCCGUAGGGUCUACACACUUAAGGUUCGGUGACGCUAGGGUUGUAGAGAUAUGAGUAUGCAGCAAACCGAAAGUUGUUUGGAGUCCCGGAUGAGAUCCUGGACGUCACGAGGAGUUCCGGAAUGGUUCAGAGGUAAAGAAUAAUAUAUAGGAAGUGCAGUUUCGGCCAUCGGGAGAGUUUCGGGGGUCACCGGUAUUGUACCGGGACCACCGAAAGGGUCCCGAGGGUCCACCGGGUGGGGCCACCUAUCCCGGAGGGCCCCGUGGGCUGAAGUGGGGAGGUGACCAGCCCCUGGUGGGCUGGUGCGCCCCCCCCCCCCGGGGCCCCCCUCUGCGCCUAGGGUUGGGAACCCUAGGGGAGGGCGCGCCUCCACUUGCCUUGGGGGGCACUCCACCCCCCUUGGCCGCCGCCCCCCUAGAGAUCCCAUCUCUAGGGCCGGCGCCCCCCUGGGGGCCUAUAUAAAGGAGGGGGGAGGGAGGGUAGCCGCACCCUGAAGUCUUGGCGCCUCCCUCUCCCCUGCUACACCUCUCCCUCUCGCAGAAGCUCUGCGAAGCUCUGCCAGAACUCUGUUGCAUCCACCACCACGCCGUCGUGCUGCUGGAUCUUCAUCAACCUCUCCCUCCUCCUUGCUGGAUCAAGGUGCGGGAGACGUCAUCCGCUCCUUACGUGUGUUGAACACGGAGGUGCUGUCCGUUCGGCACUUGUUCAUCGGUGAUUUGGAUCACGACGAGUACGACUCCCUCAACCCCGUUCUCUUGAACGCUUCCGCUCGCGAUCUACAUGGGUAUGUAGAUGCACUCCCCUAUCUCGUUGCUGGAUGAACUCAUAGAUUGAUCUUGGUGAACGUAGGAAAAUUUUAUUUUAUGCAACGUUCCCCAACAGAAACAUCAUGUGAUCCAACUAUAUUAACAAAGCCAAUGAUAUAGAUCACAAGAGAGACAAGAGAUCAAACACAUAGCUACUGGUCCAAACCCUCAGCCCCAAGGGUGGAGUACUCCCUCCUCAUCGUGGUGGCCGCCGGGAUGAUGAAGAUGGCCACCGGAGAUGAUUCCCCCCUCCGACAGGGUGCCGGAACGGGGUGUAGAUUGGAUCUCAUGGAUACAGAGGCCUUGCGAGGGCGAAACUUCUGAUCUAGGGCUGCCUCGAUGGGUUUUGGAAUAUUUGUGACUUUAUAGGGUAAAGAGGGGGUGUGGGAGGCCACCAAGGUGGGCACAACCCACAUGGGUGCGAUAGGCGGCCCUGGCGCGCCCUGGUGGGUUGUGCCCCCCUCGGGGCACCCCCAGGUGCAGCUCAGGCCCAUUGGGUUCCUUCUGGUCCAUAAAAAUCUCCAAAAAGUUACGCGGUGUUUGGACUCCAUUUUAUAUUGAUUUCCUAAAAUGUAAAAAACAAGCAAAAAAACAGCAACUUGCACUGGGCACUGGGUCAAUAGAUUAGUCCCAAAAAAUGAUAUAAAGUUGCUAUAAAAUGAUUGUAAAACAUCCAAGAAUGAUAAUAUAUUAGCAUGAAUACUUCAUAAAUUAUAGAUACAUUGGAGACGUAUCAACACUCAUAGUCAAAUAUGGGAAUUCUUAGAUUCUCAACUCCCAUUCAAUCCAUCCCCAUGAUAUAUGGACAAUCACCUCAUGUCACUCAAAUUUAGUUACUUGCAGCACAUGUUGUUUUAGGCGUCUUAACUGAAACUUGUAUUGUUUAAUUCAUAGAUGAAAUAUAUGAAAAUCUAAUUAACAAAAUACAAUUAUUCAGAAGAGAUGUGCAUCAGUGUGAGGCAUUGCUAUGGGUAGUGGCGGAGCUAGCAUUUGAGAACAGGGUGGUCCGCCCCCUAAAAAGAUUCAUAAGAAAUAUGACACGUGAAUGUUAUAACUAAUUACCAAUACCACAUAGAAAUAACUCAUAUGGUCUUACAAACACACUAAAAUUCUCAAUUAAUGCUAUUUGGGCCAAAAAUGAUGAGCAAAAUUACGCAUGUGUUCGGUUCAUCUACUGGAUAGCAUAGCACAUAAAAAACCCUAAAUCAGAAAUUGGGUAGGCAUACCUUAAGUCAGAAAUUGGGAAGGUUAGAAAAUACUAUGUUGCUUCCACCAGACUUGGGCACUCGAGCACUCGGGGGGCAGGGGGACCGUGCUACAGUCAUGCAGGACAGGGGCGCACACGCAUGCAGCUCGCAUGGAGGCGGGAAAGGAAGAAUGGAUCCUUCGCGGUGGCUGGGCUCCAAUAGGUGACCGGGAAGGGCGGCGAGCCAACGAUGGUGGGGGCAUCUGGCGUUGGGAAUCGGGAGUCAGGACGAGGUGGGUGAUUGCCUGGCUUGAUCUGGACGAGGGUGUGUUGUGUCUGUGCUCGGGGCAACAAGUAAGUGUUAUUGGGCCAAUUUUUCUUUCUGGCCCAGUAACAGAUCCAUAGGCUGAUUCAAAAUCUCAGGGUCGGCCAAGGUCCACCCUGGCCACCCUGUAAUGCAUCUGGUGUCCCGCAUAGCUACAAAACCUAUGAAUUCUCAAAAAAAGACACAAAGCCUAUGUUACGUCGAGCCCGCAAUUCCUUCCACUUCUUGCGUGGUAACUUCGGCGGGCAUUUAUCUCUUGCCCGUGUGCUCUUCCUCAGACUUCAUAUUUUGUGUUUGUUUAGCUAGCUUAUUUUUAGUGGCAUCCCUUCCAAGGGCCUUAAUCUCCUUCUUUCAUUCGGUUGCCAGUUUUUGCUCAACUAAAGGUGUGCAAGAGAUUUUUAAGAGCAAGGACUUUUCCAUGGAGACCAAUCAAGUUGGGUAUGAAAGUGAAGAAAACAGGAAGGACUCGAGACAUGGGAGUUGAUGGAAUUCAUUGUUUCACUCUUAAAAAAUAAUUCUUUAUUGUGUCUUCUUCUCCAUGUGCUCUUUCAAGAAGGCCUUCCACAUGUUCUUCUCUCAAUAAGAGUUGUAACGGAUGAUGUAAUGCCAGCUAUCAAAAUAGUUGGCCAAAAUAAUUCAAGUUCAUUGUCAUCAAUAAAUCCAUUGGAUUUCUUCUCAUUCUGAAUCAUCGACUUCACUUCCAUAGCAACUUGCUUUUCAACCUGAUCUAAAGAAGAAGAAAACGAGUUCUCCAGCACAUGUGCAAUCUCUAGAUCUAAAAGUUUCCAACGAUGGAUAACAAGGGUUUCUCUAAAAAAUCCUAAGAAAUGGCAUAAAAAUCGUGAGGAAUUGAUUAUUUGCAAAUAUCAUAAAAAUUCACAAUGUACUAUGAGAACAAUCUAUGUAUGUGUAGUCUGAGAAGCUUUUACUUCUCCAAGAUGGAAACAACGAGCUAUUCACACAUAAGAAAGUUAUACACUCAGAGCUAUAAUGAAGUAGAUUAGGCUUUACUAAUAGCUAAGAGCAAUGAGCUCAAUGACAGAAGUCCAGAACUACUUCUAGGUCUUGUAGUCUCAAGGGCAGGGGUGACAUUCAAAACUUCAUGAACUAUAGUGUGAAGUUUCUUACAUAGUUCACUAUGUACAUAGCUGCACAAAUUUGUACAUUCUCUAAGCUUCAUGAGAAAUCGCUAAUUUCUCUCGCGCUACUCUAUUGCAUCGAGCAGGUGUUUAAUUGAUAUUUUGAUAAACAAGAGUCUUAUCAGUUACAACACAAAAUGGUGGUGCUAUUUAUUGGAUAUGAUUUUUUAUUUUCUAAUAAGAGAGUGCUUUUGCACAUAACUACAUAAGCAUCACAAGGCACCUGAAGUAGAGCCAUGAUCAAAAUCUGUGUUCGGUUUAUUCCAAUAUCUAAAGAGAGCAACGAGAAUAACAAGAUUCCAAUCUCACUAUCAUCAUUGAAUUAAUAGCUUUUAGAGGAAUGAGAGGAUCAACCGGAUUACCUUCACAUUGCCAGCGACUGCAAAGUUCAUGUCAACUUCUUGCUUAAAUGGCGCUCUCUUCAUCAGUCUGCAAGAGAUGAACGUAUUUUGUAGAUUGAUUGCAUUGGCCAUUAUAUAAUACAAGAUUCAAUUUUUUCUCCAUAAGUCAGUACAACAAACUUAAAUGCAAGAUAAAAAAACUUCUAUCACAAAGAAAUAGAAAAUGAAGAUGCAUAUAUGAAUGAUGUCAAUUUUCAAUGCUAAGCUAGAAUAUUAUCAUAUCAGCAAAACAAAACUUCAACAUAUUCAUUCGGAAACUCAGGUAAGGGACAAAGUCUAAAUAUUUUAUCAACUUGAACAAGAUUGAAAACAAAUAACAAGAAAUAUAUGCACAAUACAAAAGUGUCUCUUACCAUGACAAGACCCAAUAUGUGUUCUCCUCUUUCUCAUUAUACCAGUGCAGAAAAUAUCACAAAUUUCUGAUCAAAACAACAUUGUUCUCCUUGCUUAGGGUUACCAUUAUCAAAAAAAGGACCUAUAUGCGUUGCACAUCAACAACCUGUACAUAAAAGACGUAACGAUGCUAGUAAAAAAGCACACCCAAAAUUUCAAUUUUUAACUGUCACUUACCAUAACACCAAUCAUGCACUCACCACUCUAGUUCAGUAAAUAAGUAAUAACCAUCCUGCUGGGCAGAAGUGUUUUAUAGAGCAUUUGGUGAGAACAUAAAGAGUGCAUGAUACUAAAACUAUGGUUGGCUUUAGAGGAUCCUGAAACUGAGUUGCAAGCAAAAGAAUGAGAAAUAAAUGAUACCUCUGUUUGGACUUUGAGCAACUUCAAUUUAUUGGGAGCUAAAGCUAGAGGUGCAUCUUUUCCUGUGUGGGGCAAUGGAGAGGAAGAUGUGCAGUUCAAUCACGCCGAGGGAACUGUGGCAGUGCCUGGUCAGAUCCGAAAGAACAUAGAGAAUAAAAAGGAACAAGCCACAACCAAAGCACACAGAAACCUACUUUGAGAACCUCGUCAUCUAUGCCUAUUUGCACUACCGUGACAUGUGUAGCGCGGCGGUCCUUCCUUCUCGGAUCGCCAAGGAACAAGCUCCCUCUCCCGAACUAUUUGCCGCUGCGCCCCAACGCUUCUUCGCCCAAUCACCACCAUGCUGCUCCUCUCCUCCCGCUGAUGUCGCUAGGCCGAGGGACACACUCGGCGGCGUGCAGCGGAUAGGAGGCAGGGCACGUGGGGAAGUUGAUGGAAAGGGGGCAUGCACUAGAGAAGUCAGAGUCGAGCAGCCACCGAGAUUGUUUGGGAGAGAGAAAGAGAAUCUAACGAAUGAUGGGGACCGCGAGAUCAGGGGAGAUUAAGCUCUUAUAUUUCUGAUUUUGGGGUUGAUUUGUUUCCAUGUGAGUUGGGCUUGCGUUGACCAAAUCAGUGGAGGGUGGGGCUGGCUAUUCCUUCCAUCAGUCGAUGGGUUACCCAACUGCAUCUUCAGAAGUAGAGAUAAAUGAUUUUUUAUCGGAGAGAUUAUUGAUGUUUUGGUGAGUAAUGAUUUGAUUUGAACCGGUUAAUGUAUGGCGUUGUUUUGGGAAGGUGUUGAUCUAAUUGAGUUAAUGCACGUGUCAAAUGGGAUGGCCCAAGUAGGCCGCUGUGAUGGGACAUGAAAGGAAAGCGAAAGAUAGAAGUGGUGGGAUGAGGUGGGAGUGAGGCGAGACUACCAACUCAAACAUUAGGAGUAGAGACUAGGACUCCUUCCUUUUUUGCCUUCCCUAGUCACAUGGGCUUUUGAGGACUUGGUACGCCUAGCCCAAUAAGGCCAGGGUGCCUCCCCGCAGUCCAUGCUAGCCCUUGGGUCAUGGUGAACCCACUUGUGGACUUCCAGACCCCUCCGGAAUCCUCCGGAACCUUCUCAAAGCUUCCCGGUACAAUACCGGGAAAACUUCACCUUUUUCCGGAACCCAAAAUAUAACUUCCCAUAUAUAAAACUUUACCUCUCGGCCAUUCCGAGACUCCUCGUGAUGUCCGGGAUCUCAUUUGGGACUCCGAACAACAUUUGGUUACUGCUCAUCAAAUAUCCCAAUACUAUUCUAGCGUCAACGAACGUUAAGCGUGCAACCCUACGGGUUCGGGAAUUAUGUAGUCAUGACCAAGACACCUCUCCGGUCAAUAACCAAUAGCAGGACCUGGAUGCUCAUAUUGAUUCCUACAUAUUCCACGAAGAUCUUUUAUCGGUAGAACCUUUAUGACAACAUACAUAUUUCCCUUUGUCUGACGAUAUGUUACUUACCCGAGAGUCGAUCGUUGGUAUCCCUAUACCUAGUUCAAUCUCGUUACCAGCAAGUCUCUUUACUCGUUCUGUAAUACAUCAUCUUGCAACUAACUCCUUAGUCACUUUGCUUGCACGCUUCUUGUGAUGUGCAUUAACGAGAGGGCCUAGAGAUACCUCUCCGAUACACGGAGUGGCAAAUCCAAAUCUCGAUUCACACCAACUCAAUAGACACCUUCAGAGAUACCUGUAGAGCAUCUUUAUGAUCACCCAGUUAUGUUGUGAUGUUUGAUAUCACACAAGGUAUUCCUGUGGUAUUCGGGAGUUGCAUGAUCUCAUGGUCGAAGGAAUAUGUAUUUGACAUUAAGAAAGCAGUAGCAAUAAACUAAACGAUCAUAUGCUAUGCUAACGGUUGGGUCUUGUCCAUCACAUCAUUCUCCUAAUGAUGUGAUCCCGUUAUCAAAUGACAACUCAUGUCUAUGGUUAGGAAACCUUAACCAUCUUUGAUCAAUGAGCUAGUCUAGUAGAGGCUCACUAGGGACACGGUGUUGUAUAUGUAUCCACACAUGUAUAUGAGUUUCCGAUCAAUACAAUUCUAGCAUGGAUAAUGGAUGUUUAUCAUGAAGAGGGAAAUAUGAUAAUAACCAAUUUAUUAUUGCCUCUCAGGCAUAUUUCCAACACUUACCCUUCUAUGAAUCCAGGUUUACGAGUCAUGCAACUUGGGGCCUACUGAGAGGGCAAGUGAACCCGCGGAGGGGCGUCAAGCUUGUCAAAUAAAUAUCAUGAAGAAGACUUCAGUCGGGUGUUUAACAUGGCCGAGUGCAUAGGUCCCUGCAGGAGGGUGGUCAGUCGGGAUGACAUGCAUCCCUUAGGAAAGGGAUCGUGGGUAAUCAAUUGGAUUGACUCAUCCAGAAAAUCUCGGGAUUUGAAUUCGCGCGUUCGCGCGCAGAAGAGGUAAUGUCAUGCACUAGUGGGGAAAGUGGGGGUGUGGCUCCUCGAUUCAUGCACAUGACGCCCGCCACAUCCCGCUAGCUCUGCAUGAUGUCUCAUUGCACGGGCUGUCGAUCCAGAGAUCAGCGACGUGAGAUUUGGCCCGCGAUUUGCCUCAAUGAUAUAAAAGAUUUGGGGGUGGAGGUCGGGACCCCGAUCGCCUUUCUCUCGCUCUGACUCCUCUCCUUCCUUUCACCCCUCUAGUGCGCAAUGAUGGCAAGGGACUCUACGGCCAAGGCAGGGAAAGCGAAGAAAGAUGGAAAGGCUACCUCCUCCGGCUCUGAUGCCGCGGUCGGCAGCGCGGCGGGGAACUGGAUCCCAUCGUGCGUUUUGGCUCGGCGGUUGGAGGAGCUCACGGAAGAGGAGCUGAUUCUGCAUGAAGGGUGGCAUCGCCUGGGCGUGGGGGAGGUCGAGCCGGCGCCUCAGGAGGACGAGCGCGUCUGCCUCAUCAUCCACAUCGAGCGGGGCUUCUCGAUGCCUCCUCAUCCUUUUUUCCGAGUGUUCCUCGACUACUUUGGCAUGCAACUCCAUCAUCUUACCCCCAACGCCAUCAUUUAUCUUUCGGCCUUCAUCUCUCUCUGUGAAAACUUCUUGGGUUGCCAUCCUCAUUAGGUCCUCUUCAAAUACAUCUUCACCUGUCGGUCGAUGACUGUCAAGAAGGACUCGCCGACUGGUGAGAAAACCAAUGUUACCUAGCUAUGCGGGGGCCUGGGCAUCCAGGUUCAUGGGGGGAGGUCCUUCCCAAAGAUGAGCUUUCCUGACUCUAUCAAGGGGUGGCAAUGAAUUCCCGGCACCAACAAUCAGUCGGGCCUCCCGCCGUAUUUGUCCGAGAGGGUAAGAGCCCAUGCGUCCCUUUCCAUGGUGAAGGAGGAGAAGGUGGGUGUCGAUGUCUUGUCUAGUGCGUUAAUCAGAGUUGUCAAUGCUGGAGUAAACAACAUAGAUUUGCUGGAGACUUUCUUCACUCGGUGCAUUCAACCACUCCAAGCCAGGGCUCAUCCCAUGUGGAUGUACGAGGGGUCAAGUGACCCCACCCGGGUGCACCCUGAGGAGCUCAGCGAGAAGGAGGUGGGGGCCAAGAUCAAGGCCAUCACCUGUGCUCGGGACAACCCGUCGGGGGCUCGGUCGGUGCCAACCUUCCACAAGGACUUCCCUCCCAUGGAGGUAAUCAUUUGCCGCUCAAUCGGCUUGGUCAUAUGCUACCUCUUGUAUAGUUGAUCCUUGUUUUGUAUGUGUUUGCCUUUUAGGACUCUCAAAACUUGACAUCUAGGAUCCCGAUGGUGGACCGGUCGCCCAAAGACGUGACGAGUGACUCCGAGCAGUAGUACUCAGAGGAAUCCGAUGAUGACGAGAGUGAUGAUGAGGAGGGAAGCAACAAGGAGGAGAGAUCUCAGGAGGAGGANNNNNNNNNNNNNNNNNNNNNNNNNNNNNNNNNNNNNNNNNNNNNNNNNNNNNNNNNNNNNNNNNNNNNNNNNNNNNNNNNNNNNNNNNNNNNNNNNNNNNNNNNNNNNNNNNNNNNNNNNNNNNNNNNNNNNNNNNNNNNNNNNNNNNNNNNNNNNNNNNNNNNNNNNNNNNNNNNNNNNNNNNNNNNNNNNNNNNNNNNNNNNNNNNNNNNNNNNNNNNNNNNNNNNNNNNNNNNNNNNNNNNNNNNNNNNNNNNNNNNNNNNNNNNNNNNNNNNNNNNNNNNNNNNNNNNNNNNNNNNNNNNNNNNNNNNNNNNNNNNNNNNNNNNNNNNNNNNNNNNNNNNNNNNNNNNNNNNNNNNNNNNNNNNNNNNNNNNNNNNNNNNNNNNNNNNNNNNNNNNNNNNNNNNNNNNNNNNNNNNNNNNNNNNNNNNNNNNNNNNNNNNCUUAUGAGGCUCCCAAGGAGCCCCAUUCGAAGGCGCCGCAUGAUCCAAAGUGCAAGGCGGGUAGGGUUCAGCCACUGACCGCAUCUAGUUGGACGACUCAGAGCUCCAAGGAUGCUCGUGCGAAGGCUGAGAGCUCGGCAGAGAAGCAACCCAAGUUCUCGAAGUAGAUCUCCUCCAAGCCCCGGAAGGUCGCAGUGCCUCGGAUCAAGGUGGCAGUACCUGUGACCUCAACGUGAGUUCUCUCGUCAAUCCCUUGUUUGUUUUUAUGUUGAUUCAGUUGUUGACCGAGUGUUCUUUGACCUCCUUAGCAAUGACACGUUGACAACUUUGGCGGAUCCACAAGCUCGUAAGCCGGGCCCGAGUGAUGCUGAUGCGGGAGAUGCUGCCACUUCCAAAGGUAUGCCUCAUCGACUGAUUCAGAUGGUGAGGUCUUCUUUUAGCUGAACUCCAAUGAUUUCUUUGGUCCAUGUAUUCAUGCAGCUCCACCCGAGAUCAUUCAGCUGGAUGACGAUGAGAGGACGAACCCACCCAAUCUGGGGGCCAUCAGGGAGGACAUGCCAAAUGUUGACGCGUCGAUGCCGGACGCAUCGCCUCGCUGAAUGACCCGCAUUUCUUCGGUGAAGGCCGUUGGAAGGGCCGCAGGCCUGAGUCCUCUGGCUCCUGGUGGCUCAACACAUUCGACCGUACUGGUACUACCCUCAGGAUCUACCUCGACUCCUCCGAGUGGAUCGUCAGUGGUUCCGGCUCCGAGGCAUGCGUCCAUGUCUCCAUCGUCCCCAGCUACCUCCUUCCCCCUGUACCAUGUCCCUGAAUAUCAAGUGGGAUGAGCAAUGAGCCUCUGAUCCAGGUGGGAUCGAUGUACGACCGGCUGAAGGAAGCUUACGAGGCCAGCGCGGUGCUGCAGAUCAACGUCCGAGUAAGUACCACUGUGAGUAUAAAUUGCAGUCAAAGUUUUUCUUUUUCCUUUGGUAGAAAUUUUGUCUGUGGGUUUUCACAGGGAAUACCCAGUGGGUAUUCAUGAUCCCAUGGGGGCACGUUGACUGCACCCUCUGGGUGUAGUCCCUGAGGCUCUUGUCGAUUGGAAUCAGUCAGCAGGAGUCUUUUUAGCUUUUUGUGUGUUUUUGUGUACACUCAGAGUCUAGCGGGAGCGUAUCCGAGUGGACAUCAUUCAAUGGGGCACACUAAGUGUACCCACUGGGUGUAGUCCCCGAGGCUACCAUUCACUGGAGCAGCAGGUGGUAGUCUUAGAACUUGUGGAUGUUUUGCCUUGAGGCUGUUUGUCGUCCCUUUUUUUAAGCUCAUCGACGAGUCAUUUUCCAGUGGGGGCACACUGAGUGCACCCAAUAGGUGUAGUACCCGAGGCUACCAUUGACUGGAGCAGUCGGUGGUAGUCUUAGAACUUGUGGACAUUUCGCCUUGAGGCUAUUUGUCGCCCCCCCCCCCUUUUUUUAAGCUCGUCGACAAGUCAUUUUCCAAUGGGGCCACGCUGAGUGCACCCACUAGGUGUAGUCCUCGAGACUGCUGGCGAUUGCGAGCAAUUGGUGGCGAUCUUCAGAAGGGUUGCUAGGCAUUCAGGACGCUCGUGCAUUGGUGAGAUAAUUGGUAGGAUCUUCUUCAUUGCCAACUCGGAGGUUAGCUUAAUGAAGCAGAUUGUCUUGUGUCGUUGUCUUCUAUCCACUUCAUCGCCGACUCGAGAGCCAGAUGAUAGAGGGUAGAUCAGAGGGUAUUUCAGGAUCUAGUAUUGAUCAAGCUUGAUCUUCCUGGGGAUGCUUGGCUGACCCAGUACUUGAGAAUUUGGUAUUGGUCAAGCUUGUUCCUCUUUGGGGGGGCAUGACCGAGUGGGAAGCCCAAGGGUACUUCAAGAUCUGGUACUGAUCCAGCAUGCUCCACUUGGCAGCACGCGGCCGACUAGGUAGUCAGGGGGUACUUCAGGAUCUGAUACUUAUCAAGUUUGUUCCAUUUUGGCACCAUGCAGCCGACUCUGUAGUCAAAGGGUACUUUAGGGUCUGGUACUGGUCUAACUUGUUCCCUCCAACCAUGCUUCAUCCGUAUGUUUGCGAGUUAUUGCAUGGGUGUCGGUGUCAAAACCGGCGGAUCUCGGGUAGGGGGUCCCGAACUGUGUGUCUUAGGAUCAAUGGUAACAGGAGACAAGGGACACGAUGUUUUACCCACGUUCGGGCCCUCUUGAUGGAGGUAAAACCCUACGUCCUGCUUGAUUGAUAUUGAUGAUAUGGGUAGUACAAGAGUUGAUCUACCACGAGAUCAGAGAGGCUAAACCCUAGAAGCUAUCCUAUGGUAUGAUUGUUGUAUCUCUUUAUCGACUAGCCUAGCCUCGGUUUAUAUAAUGCACCGGAGGCCUAGGAUAACAAGAGUCCUAGCCGAAUACGCCGGUGGGGGAGGAGUCCUUGUCUUGAUCGCCAAGUCUUGUAGAAUCUUCCUUGUAUGCGGCACCUGUCCGGACUGUCCCAUGAGUAUACGGCCAUGGGGAUCCUCGGCCCAAUCCACCUGAUCGGGAGACGACGUGGUGAGUACCCCCUAGUCCAGGACACCGUCAGUAGCCCCCUGAACCGGUCUUCAAGUUAGGGACGCUCCUCAAUUCUUCUGAACUAUUCUUCAUCUUCGGUCGUCGGUCUUGAAAACUGGUUCAACAAAUCUACUCAUCUUCGAUCUUGAGGAUCGCCGAAAUGCAUUCGACGAGUUUACACGUCGGGUAUCCGAGGAGCCCCUUUAAGUUUCCGGCCUUUAUCAAUGCCUUGUUAUUUUUAUGCCACACCUCGGUUUUGAAGUUAUUCCCGGGCGGCAACGUCCUCUUGCAUCCGAGCUCCAACGCCGGACUGCAUUCAAGGUGUCUUUUGCAGCCAAGCACCAAUGCCGGACUGCUUCCCAGCUCUAACGCUGGACUAUGUAUCCGAGCUCCAACGCCAGACGGUAUCCGGGCUCCAACAUCGGAUUAUGUAUGCGGGCUCCAACGCCGGAUUAUGUAUCCAAGCUCCAACGCCGGACUGUAUCCGAGGUGUCGUAAAUCACCUUGGUUCAAAGAAGUUUGAAGGAGUUUAGCCGAGCUUAAUGCCGGAAAUGCCCUCUAUGGAGCCAGCCACUAGCGCCCGAGCUUUAUGCCGGACUGCUUCCGAGGUGGUGCACCACCCCGAAUGUGGGCCGAUUUUUGUCAAUAUUUUUUAUUGGUGCCAGUAGCCCUCAAGGUGGGUAUUGGUCUAAAACCCGAGAUGCACAUGAAGGAUGACAUAACACCGCUGAUCCCCGUAGCCGCUGAGACUCAGGUUGAUUUGCAAAAUCGGUCUGAGGAUCAAGUCCUAGCUCGGCAGAAUACUUCGGGACACAAAAAGCGGCGUGCUCAGUCCUCGAGACUCAGGUUGGGUGCGGCCAACCAACCUGAGGAUCAAAAUCUUCUCGGAAACUGUAUGGCACUUAAAAUUUUCUGCAUAGAACAGGCAAUGCAGUAGCCCCCGAGACACUGGUCGGGUGGCAAUACCAGAUCAGGGGAUCGAUGCGCCCCUUUAAUAUUUGUAAAUAAUAAGCCCGAAGCCCAGUAGCCCCCGAGCCUUAAUGCGGGCACGGGAGGCCGAAUUAAGGAUCGAUGUCCAUAGUAAAAUGACAAAUUAUGUGUAAUGACUCUAUGUAUCCAAGUACUUUACGUCAUUAAUGCUCGGAUCCGCAUUGUACAAAACUUUGUUGACCGACCAUCAGCUUCCACCUCCUCGGCCAAUAGCCGAGGAGUGUUUAUCCUACUUUAUAAAGCCUUUAUGAGGGCAAAGAUUGACAACAAACAAGGCAAUCUGGCCACAUGGUUUUAUAAACAAAGGUACGCGGAGAGACAUGUUAUAUUACUGUUUAACAGAAGAAAUGUCUUCCAAAGAAAAUAGUCCCGCUAUCGGUUCCUUUCUUUGGGUUGUCAUGCUAAGCAUGAUCAUGAAACCUCAGCUCCAAUGUAAGAGCAAGAUAUCGAGGAUUUAGUUUGGGAGGCCAGUUAAUAGCCCCCGGUAGUGUUCGGCGACAGUCGAGGUCAAGCCGUAAACACUUCGGCCAUUGUUAUGAAUGGCCCGUCGUUUAACACCGUCAUCGGAUCACCGACCAGUUUGCGCUUAUUGUGACAGUCAGUUUUCGGCUUUCUCCACUGAGGUGCUUAACCAUGUGACCUGGAAGCACAAUCGCAGUGGUUCUCCCUUUGCACACCUAGCCGAACAAAGUGGAACAUAGGAGGCAAGCGCAGGAGCCGGGCAACCCAACUAUUGACCGAAGACACAAUUCGAAACCGAUGCAUAUAUAGCAAUAUCUGAGAAUGUUUUUGCCGAAGCUCUAAAGAUGUCCGGCGUUGCACUGCGAGACUUGUGCUGAAAACACACAAAUAGUUUAAAAGUGCCAUAAGCUUGGAAAACCAAGAAACUUAUUCAAAAGGUUAAUGUCCGAACUAGAUCAAGUGUUCGGUGCCAAUCUGAAAAUUGGACUUUAGAAAAAAAAUGCUUCUGCCAUGCUUUAACAUGACACAUCCUAUCUCAAAACUUCAAGCGGGUCAGCCUACGGCUUCAACCUCCUAUCCCAAAGGCGGAGUACUUCUUACACUAGGCUAGUUUAACAAACUAAACUCUAGCGGCUUUGAGAGAGAAAUUAGGCUCCCCGGCUAGUGACCGCACACUUGUGUCGAAGAAAGGAGUGAUAAAUAAGAAUAAUAAUAACAAUAAUAAAACUUUGCAACGACUAAGAAGAAAAACACUUAGUAGGAAACGGCUCAAAUAAACAUAAGAGCCCCCAAGUCACUUGGGUAAAAGUUGACUAUAUAAUGUAAGGUGACAUGUAGAAUGCCUUCUAGCUGGAUUCUAGAUCGUUUGUCGUAGCGGACCUUUUCGCUUCAACCUCUGGACCCAAUAGUCUGGAGUGUGUCCGAAUACCCUUGCGAUUAUAAAAACCAGGGCAUGCGUGGAGACCAGGCGUAGGGGUCAUUAGUGCUUUAUCAGACAAGUGCCCAACUAGUUAUGUUAUAUUACAUGGUUAGUAAGAAACAUCUUCCAGGGAGAAUAGUUCCGUUAGGGGUUCUUUUCCCUGGGAGGCAUGCCCUAAAGUGCAUGUCCGGUCUGCGAAAAGAGCAGAAAAACAUCUGGGGGCAAGUAAAUAAAUAGGUAAGAAAUCAUCUUUUGGUUCACCGACCGAGUAUUCCCUUAAGAACGCUAGCUUUCGGCUUCACCCAGUCUGAGGUACACAUCCGGCUGACCCGGCAGUAACAAUCGCAGAGGUGCUCCCUUUACCACCUAGCUGAACAAUCGGGAACGUAGGGGUAAGCACAGGAGCCAGGCAACCCAGCUUGGCCAAAACAUAAGUCAUAUCGAUGCAUAUAAUGGUGGAUAAAAGGUACAUGCGGAAGUGUGACGCAUGUGUUGGGCAUAAAGCCCGAAUUAAUAAGCUUCUGUUAAAGAAGCCCCCAGGUAUAAUGAGCGCGGGUAGCGCGUCAAGUGUGUGCGAACAAAGUUUCGACAAGGAAAAUUUUACAAGCAACUUUUUUUUAAAAGAGUAUAAUGCUUGGUCGAGCCAAACACAAAAAAUUUAAAACCUUGAGCAUGAAGGCAACUUAGCUGGUUAAUGUGUUCGGUAUUGAUGACGCGGUCAAUGAUGGCGGAGCAAAGGGCUCGGCACUCCGGAGUGGUGACAUAGCACGGUCAAUGCAGUAUGGCAGGGUGAUGCCGAAGUCCCCGGCAUGGGGUAAUGAAGUGUUGACGAAGCCCCCUGUCCAGCCGAGGUGGCGCCAAAGGAUAUAGUCCGGCUGGAUCAUUUUCCUGAUUUAUUUGUUGUGGUGGUUCGAAGAAAGGUUACUCCCAAGAUUGGGACUCGAUCCGCACACCCAUUGCCUGAUGGGUGAUGAAGCGAAGGCAUGGCGAUGCUCGCAAAGGUUGGCUCGCCGAGGCAAAGCCCUCGGUCUAGCUAACGUGACGUAGCCGGUCGGCCAGCGACGCCAAAGUUUCCGGAGUAGGUUGAUGAAGAGAUGGUGAAGCCCCCAGUCCAGGCGAGGAGACGGAGCAGGUCGGUGAGGAGAUGUGUCAGCCGAGGUGUUGAAGUAGUUCGGCGUGAUGGACACCGACUCGAUGAAGCAACAGUGCGGCCCUGCCGAUGCAGGUCGUGACGUGGUCAAUGCCGGCUUGAUGAAGUGAUCGUGCGGUGAUGUAGGUGUCCCCGCUCCGUGUAAUCCGUGGGGCGGUGAUUUUGGUGAUGAUUUAUCCUUCGCGAUGCCGAACUAUUGUUCGGCUGGCCGAGAUGAUGAUCCGAAGAAAUUGAGCUCGGCUCAACAAAGCGACGACAUGUCUAACGCAGGUCGGCCGCCAUGGAGUGAUGUUGUCGGGCUGGUUUGACACCGGGGUGAUGGCAAAGUUUGUAUUGCGAGAGUACUUUUAAUACUACUGGGAUGUGUUUGAGAAUAAAACACAACACCCCAUACGAAAACUUCCUUCAAAAAGGACGUCCGAGAUCCCGUUCAUAAAGAAGAUGAAUUCAGGUCGGAUUCGUUCUCGCGCAGAAAGUAGAUCCAAAAAGUGAUGCACUAAUCGGAAGUUUCCCGGAGUUUGGACGGUCGGAUCGAGCUGAAUUUUUGGCAGGUGGUAGAUAUGGGAAUUCCGCAGCAAAUCAACGGUUGGAUCUUCCAAAGGACAUCUGAGCUAGAUGCUCGAUACCACGCCCUAAACUCGUCCGGAUUCUCGUCCAGAUUCAACAGGGCUCCGGUAUAUCGGAGAUUGCCGGAGAUUCCCCCAUUGGAACUCGACGAAAUUUUUGCAGGGUUGUUGUGGACUUAAUUCCGCAUAAUUCCACAAAAGUAAUCGUUUAGGCGACACUCGAGGAGGCGGUGGCAGAGGAUACAAGUUUGCUGUCCAGAAAAACAGCACGGUCGCCUGAGGGCAAUGUUGACGUUGAGCCCCCGAGCUCCAUGGAUGACUCCUUGAUGAUCUUGAUAGAGAUCGGAGUUGGUGUUAAUGAAGGUCCUCAUACGAACAUGACGAUCGGAGGUAGGGCGCAGUCCUCGGUCAAGCCAAGGUGACCAGUCGAGCUGGUGACGAAGAAGCUGACGUCGCAGUUGACCUGCAGUCGAGCCAUUGAUCCUUUCGUCGAUCACACAAUGGAACUCUCAAUGAAAGCACCAAUGUCGGUGUCAAAACCGGCGGAUCUCGGGUAGGGGGUCCCGAACUGUGCGUCUUAGGAUCAAUGGUAACAGGAGACAAAGGACACGAUGUUUUACCCACGUUCGGGCCCUCUUGAUGGAGGUAAAACCCUACGUCCUGCUUGAUUGAUAUUGAUGAUAUGGAUAGUACAAGAGUUGAUCUACCACGUGAUCAGAGAGGCUAAACCCUAGAAGCUAGCCUAUGGUAUGAUUGUUGUAUCUCUUUAUCGACUAGCCUAGCCUCGGUUUAUAUAAUGCACCGGAGGCCUAGGAUAACAAGAGUCCUAGCCGAAUACGCCGGUGGGGGAGGAGUCCUUGUCUUGAUCGCCAAGUCUUGUAGAAUCUUCCUUGUAUGCGGCACCUGUCCGGACUGUCCCAUGAGUAUACGGCCAUGGGGAUCCUCGGCCCAAUCCACCUGAUCGGGAGACGACGUGGUGAGUACCCCCUAGUCCAGGACACCGUCAAUGGGUUUCUCUUUUUUUGGUCUUCCGACUGAUUGUUUCUUGCAUGUUGCAGAGGACUUAUGAGUUGGGAUCCCACUAUGCCGCGAUGGAGAAGGAGGUGAUAACCCUUCGACUUGAUCUGGAGGCUGAGAAGCUCAAGAGCACCCGACUGGAGAAGGAAAAGAAGGCCUUGGGAGGUAAGUUAUUUCCCCCAUUUGGUAGUGUCAUACUAUUUUUCUCUUUCAAUCAGAGUCAUUCUGCUCAGGCAGAUGUUCUUAGCGAGAACACCCAACUCGUAAUGAGGCUCAGGACUUCUAUUUCUUCAGAAACCAUGAAGUAGGCUCUGGAGAACAAAGACAAGGAUUUGGCGUUGGCCCAGAAGGAAGCAAGGACCAAGACCAAGCUUGCCGACGAGAAGCUAGCUUCAAUCGACAAGUUGGAGGAGGAGAUCAAGGACCUCAAGGUUGUCGUUACUGUCUUCACUCGGGAGAAACAGAUGUUGGAGGAGAGGGUCACGCAGUUAACUAAAAAGAAGAAUGCCCUGGGAGCACAUAUUGAGGAGGUUUGCAAGGAGUUUAGCCAGAAGCUUGCAAGUAAGUUCUUCCUCGAUCGAGUGAAAUCCAAAUGCCACCGAAUCAUCCUCAAUCAUUCGCUCAUGGACUGUCUUCUUUUAACCAGAGCAUUGCUACAACAAAAAGCUGGAACUGGAAAGCCUUGAGAGGGAUCUGGAUCCUUCUAGGUCACUCGUCGCUGACAAAGCGGCCCUCGCCAUCCUCCGGCUGGAAGUCUUUUGGAGAAUGUGUUGGGCUAUAUCACUCGGGCAAGGGGAUCUUUCGGAUUGAUAAGGAGCUGCAACCCGACAAGGAGACUCAGAUGGACUUGGAGUGUGUCAUGACGCGGUUGAACGAAGUCCCUGCCUGGGUGAAGGCUUGGAAGAAGUCAGCUGCUCAGAGCGGUGCUGAUGUGGCGUUGUCACUCAUUCGCGUUCAUUGCAAGAACGUAGACGAGGAGAAGCUGAAGAGACUUUGAGUGAUGAACAAGAAGAACCUCAAGUUUGAGGAUUUCAUGGAGACCUUCGCUGAAGCUGCCACCCACAUCGCCGACGGGAUCGACCUGGAGACCUUCGCCGACCCAGCUGGCCCUCCGCUUGAAGCUUGAAACACUUGGUUAAAUUUGCCCUGGAAUGUCGGGUGGUUGAUGUAAUCGAAUAUUUCGUCGAGCCUUGGGCUCGUUUUACUUUUGCCUGAAACAUUCGGAUGGAUCAAACACUUGAUUUGUGCUCCUUCGAGAGUUUAUUUGCUCAGUAUGCUUUUGUUUGACUUGGAUGAAAGCUGGUUUUCACAACUAAGCCCCCGAGUGUGGAGAAGGUCUUCACUUGGAUUGUUUUUAAACAUAGGCAAAAGCUAGUUCGCGACUAAGCCCCCGAGUGUGGAGUAGAUCCUCACUCGGAUUGUUUAUUAACUUAUGCAAAAGCUAGUUCGUAGCUAAGCUCGUGACUGUGGAGCAGAUCCUCACUCGGAUUUUUUUUAACUUAGGCGAAAGCCUUCUCCUAUCUACACCCACUGGAGGAGUGUUAGUUUUUGAAUGCGGUUAGUCACCUGAGUGAAAAUGCGACCGUAGGUCGAACUAGAUGAUAUAUGAGAAAAGUAAGACUUUUAUUCAAUUAAGUUCAUUCAGACUAACUAUUACAGAGGAGAAAUUUUAUUUUAUGUAUAAAACUUGUGGAGCAAAUCUGCGUUCCAAGCUCUGGGCUCUUCUGUUCCUUUGGCAAAGUUGUAAAGUUGGUAUGCUCCAUUAUGCGGGACCUUCAAAAUGGCGAAUGGCCCUUCCCAAGAGGGCACCAGCUUGUGAGGCUUCUGUUGGUCCACUCGGAGGACCAGGUCUCCCUCCUGGAUGGCGCGUCCUCUGACAUGCCUAUUGUCGUAGAGACGCAAGUCUUGUUGGUACAACGUUGAUCUUAUAAGCGCUAGCUCACGCUCCUCCUCCAGGAGGUCAAGGCCCUCCUGUCUUGACUCUUUGGCUUCGGCCUCCGAGUAAAGAUCCACUCGAGGGGAAUUGUGGGGCAAGUCACUCGGAAAAACUGCUUCUGACCUGUACACCAUGAAGAACAGGGUGCGACUGGUGGAUCAGUUCGGGGUCGUCCGCAGACGCAGAGGACUGACGGCAGCUCGGUCACCCAUGCCCCUGCCACGUGGGUUAGGUCGCGCAUGAGGAGGGGUUUCAAUCCUUGGAGUAUGAGUCCAUUCGCCCGCUCGGCUUGCCCAUUCGACUGCGGGUGCGCCCCAGAGGCAUAAUCGAUCUGAGUGCCUUGGGUGUAGCAGAACUCAUGAAACUCGUGUGAGUCAAAGUUAGACCCGUUGUCGAUGAUGAUGAUGUGAGGGACUCCAAAUCUGAAGAUUAUCUCUCUGACGAACUGAACAGCGAUGGCUGAGUCCAGCUUCUUUAUUGACUUGGCUUCGAUCCACUUGGUGAACUUAUCGACUGCCACCAGCAGGUGCGUGAAACCACUCGCACCCGUUCGGAGUGGGCCGACCAUGUCGAGACCCUAGACGGCGAAUGACCAAGUGAGGGUAAUAGUCUUCAGAGCGGAUGUCGGCUUGUGCGACUGAUUCGCGUAGAACUGGCACCCGACUUAAUGAUCAACUAUAUCUCAGGCGGCUUCAUUGGCUCGGGGCUAGUAGAACCCAGCUCUAAAUACUUUGGUGACCAAGGUCCAAGAGGAUGCAUGAUGUCCACACGUUCCCGAGUGAAUAUCCUGUAGAAUUUUUUGUCCUUCCUCCGGCGAUGUGCAUCGCUGAGUGACCCCGGUGGUGCUUUGCUUGUAAACCUGAUCUCCCAUGACUGUGAAGGCUUUGGAUCGGCGGGCGAUUUGACGGGCCUCAGCUUCAUCUUUUAGGAUCUCUUGCGUGAGCAGGUACGCCAGAUAUGGCUCUGUCCAUUCGGGAGUGAUAACGAGGAUUUCCUGGACCAAGUCGAUUAAUGCAAGGACGUCAACUUCAUUCGGAUUGGAUGGGCCGACUAGUUGUGGGGGCUCCUCCAUGAAAGGGUCUACCUUGAUCGUGGGCGAAUGUAGGUGCCCCAGGAACAUGUUGUUGGGUACCGCUUUCCGAGUGGAACCCAUCUUGGCCAAAUCGUCAACUGCUUGGUUCUUGAGGCGUGGAACGUGAUGGAGUUCCAACCCUUCAAAGUGCUUCUCUGGUUUUCUGAUGGUGUUCCAGUAGCCAGUCAUCACCGGACUGCAGAUAUCCUACUCUUUCAUGACUUGGUUGACCACUAGACCCAAGUCACCAUAGACCAUCAGUUGGCGAAUUCCUAGAGAAAUUGCCAUUUGUAGCCCAUAUAGGAUAGCUUCGUAUUCGGCUCCUUUAUUGGAGGAGUCGGAGUGAAUCUGAAGCACAUAACUUAAUCGGUGGCCUUUAGGAGACAGCAAGACCACUCCGGCCCCGGAGCCGUGAAGCAUCUUGGAGCCGUCAAAGAACAUCGUCCAGUGUUCGGGAACAGUCGGGACAGGUUCUUCUUGCUCAAUCCAUUCGGCAAGGAAAUCUACCAGGGCUUGUGACUUCAUGGCUUUCUUGGCUUCAAACUUGAUGUCCAGCAGAAGCAGAUCGAUGGCCCACUUAGCCACUCAGGAAGUGGCAUCUCUGUCGUUCAUGAUCUCCAACAGAGGGGCGUCACUUAUCACUAUGACCAAGUGUUCCUGGAAGUAGUGCGUCACCUUCUUUGCAGUUAGGUAGAUUCCAUAUACUAGCUUCUGAUAAUGCAGAUAUCUUUGCUUGGAAAGGGUCAGGACUUCAGAGAUGUAGUAGACGGGUCAUUGGAGCUUGAAGGUUUUGCCUUGUUCUUCUCAUUCCACAGUGAGAACUGUGCUAACAACUCGGCCCGUGGCCGGAUGUAUAAGAGCAAAGGCUCUUUGCUGCUCGGAGCAGCUAGCACCGGCUAGGUGGAAAGCAGGGCUUUAAGUUCCUGGAACGCAACUUGCUCACGGGAGUCCACUCGAACUUGUCAGACUUCUUCAUCGAUCGGUAAAGUGACAUGGCCUUUUCACCGAGUCUUGAGAUGAAUCUGCUCAGGGCAGCCUAGCAGCCUGUGAGGCGCUGAACGUCGUGUAGACGCUCUAGUUGCUUCAUUUGGAUGAUGGCACCGAUCUUCUCAGGAUUAGCGAUCCCACAUUCGAAAAUGAGGAAACCGAGUAAUUUGCUUGCGGGUAAGCCGAAUGUGCACUUAGCUGGGUUGAGCUUGAUUCCAGAAGUGUGCAGAUUCGCGAAGGUCUCGACGAGGUCAGUCAAGAGGUCAGAACCUUUCUUGGACUUGACCACGAUGUCAUCCAUGUAAGCCUCCAUGUUCCCGCAGAUCUGUUUCCGCAGGCACUUCUGAAUCAUAUGCUGAAACGUGGCCCCAACUUUUUUCAACCCAAAUGUCAUAGUGAUAUAGCAAAAACACCCGAAUGGGGUGAUGAAUGCAGUUUUUUAUUUCAUCUAGACCAUGCACUCGGAUUUGGUGGUACCCGGAGUACGCAUCCAGAAACGACAAUCGCUCACACCCGGCAGUAGAAUCUACUAUCUGAUCUAUGAGAGGGAGAGGGAAAUGAUCUUUUGGGCAGGCCCAAUUGAUGUGCUUAAAAUUGAUACACAUUCGAAGAGAUUUUUUUCGGCAUCCUGACGAGGUUGGCGAGCCACUCGAAGUGGUACACCUCUCAGAUGAAUUUGGUGGCCAAGAGCCACGCUAUCUCCUCGCCAAUUGCCUUGCGCUUCUCGGUGGAAGAUCGUCGAAGGUGCUCUUUGACAGGCUUCGUAGUCAAGUCGACCCGAAGUCUGUGCUCGGCCAGUUCCCUGGGAACACCCGGCAUGUCAGAAGGCUUCCAUGCCAAGAUGUACCAGUUCUCACGAAGGAACUGGAUGAGCUCGACUUCCAAUUUGCUGUCAUGGGUGGUGGAGAUGUUGGUCAGGCCAGUGCUCGGGUCCCCAGGAUGGAUGUGCAGUGGCUUUGUCUCUCUUGCCGGCUGGAAAGUGGAUUCCAUAGUGGGCUUCUUGGACUUCAGCAACUCGCUUGAAUCCGUCGCCUACUUGUAUUCAUCUAAGUCAGACAUUGCCAUCUAUUCAUCAGCAAUCUGAGAGCCCUUGUGGACACACUCUUCGGCUAGCUUCCGAUUGCCCAUGAUGGUGAUCACUCCUUUCUGUCCCGGCAUCUUAAGCUUAAGAUACACGUAACAUGGACGAGCCAUGAAAUGAGCGUAGGCGGGCCUACCCAGGAUGGCGUGGUAAGCGCUUCAGAAGUCUACUACAUCGAAAGUCAUAUAUUCCUUUCGGAAGUACUUUUCUUCGCCGAAUACGACAUCGAGGGCGAUCUGCCCGAGUGAUUUGGCCUUCUUCCCAGGGAUUCCCCCGUGGAACUGCAUGUUGCUUUUGCUGAGCUGGGUCAUCGGAAUGCACAUUGCCUCUAGUGUGUCGGCGAAAAUAAUGUUAAGUCCGAUGCCGCCGUCCAUUAGGACUUUGCACAAUCAGACUCCACCCACAAUCGGAUCAACCACCAAGGCCUGCCGACCGGGGGUCGGUAUGUGGGCUGAGUGAUCCGACUGAUUGAAGGUCACCGGCGUCUUAGCCCGGUCGAGGUACUUGGUGACAGUCAGAACUGCCAUGUUGACUUCUUGGUUAAUGACUUUAAGGCGACCCUUGCUCUUGAUAUUGGCGCAUAUCACCAAGACGUUCUCAAUGUUGGGGUACCCGGAAGUACCCUUGCCUUUGUCAUCGUCAUAUUCAUCCUUGUCUCUAGAGGAAUCUUGCCGCAUCUCUUGCUUCAGGAGUCGGCACUCCCAAGAGGUGUGCUUGGGCAAAAUCAAAUUACCCUCCUUGUCUUUCUUCGUAUGGAUCUGGCAGGGUUGGUCGAGGAUGUCGCUCUUCUGGGUGACUUGCUUUUUCCCCUUCCAAUUCUUCUUCUGCUUUUGGGAGCCUUUGCUUUUACCCUGGCCGGCCAGAGCCGCAGCCUCGGCGCUCCCUCCAGCCUCAGACUUCCGCUUGUGCUUCUUGCCCUUGUUGUCCGACUGAUGAGUACCACCUGUUCAGCUUUGCCGCUUCUCAGUCGGUCUUCCUCUUCACCAUUGGCAAACCGGUUGGCUAUUUCCAUAGCCCGACUGAGAGUCAGGGUCUCAGUUCGGCCAAACUUCAUCUUCAGCUCCCGGUAUCUAACUCCAGCCUUGAAGGCGCAGAUCACCUGGUGCUCGGUGACGUUCUCCACCAUAUUAUGCAAGGUGGUCCACCGCUGAAUGAACUCACGAAGAGUCUCAUUUUGCUUCUGUACACAGUGCUGCAGCUCGGCUAGACCACAUGGCCUCUUGUAUGCGCCUUACAAAGUCUUGACAAAUACUCUUGUCAAGUUAUCCCAACAGAAUAUGCUACUUGGCGAGAGAUGCGUGAGCCAGGCCCGAGCGGAGCCUUCCAGCAUUAGUGGCAAAUGCUUCAUGGCCACAUUAUCGUUGCCGCCGCCAAUCUGAACCGCCACUCGGUAAUCUUCCAACCAAAUCUCGGGCUUGGAUUCACCAGUGAAUUUGCUGAUCCCCGUGGCAAACCUGAAGUUGUUGGGAAUCUCUGCUGCCCUUAUGUAACAACUGAAGCAUUCGGGACCCGAUGGUACGGAACCACUCGGUACGUCGUGAUCUUGGCCCUCCCGCAGGGCCCGGCCUCUGUCGACCAAGCUUUGAGCGAUAAUUGAUCUCGCAUUGAACUGCGGGUCUCAAGUGUCCCUCAUGGGACGAGCGGGACUCGGCCUGCAAUUUGCCGUCAUGUGUCCACCUGUUGUCGUAGGGCUGGCGCUCGUACGCGCCAUCUCGUGGAAGAGGCAUCAGGGUGUGGUCGUAAUCGUCGUGACGUCGGGGCGACGCAACUCGAUCGUGCCGCCGAUCUUAGUGAUGAUCUCUUGAGGAGGAAGUGGCUCGGCGUCCACCGGAGCCGAGUGGGCUCUGAGCCGACUGAACGAUCUCCACGCGCAGUGACGUGAUGUGGAUCCAAUAUCUGGACUGGGUCAACGCUGCAUUCUGCGAUAAUGCCGUCUUGAGGAGCGCCUGGAUCUGCCGAAUCCCUUCUCCGGCCGCAGAGCCGGAGGGUCGGAUGGAAUCCGCGAUCCGAGUGGCAGCCGCCGGGUUUUGUAAUGGAGUAGUAAGGACUUGAUACUUACGAGGCUGGUCACUCGAGUAGAGUCGACGCUUGUGCCGACCGGAGCUAGGUUGACGACGCUCACGUUCAUCCAGCUUCCUUUGUAGCCGUUCAAGGUGAUCGAGCUCGGCCAUGGUGGCCAGGCGAGUCGACUCCAUGGCCAGUGCUUCGGGAGUAGUCCUGGUGAUGACGGUGUUCAGGAGCUGUUCGUUCCUGAGACGGAGCUCGUCCCGCUGCUCCCGGGUGAGAGCUUGGGGCACGUAUGGCUCAUGGCCCUCGACACCGCCGUCUGCGUCGUCGCGUGAUGCUCCUGCGCAAGCGUCCGUGUAUCCCGGGGGCGCGCAAUGCUCAGAGUUGUCCGCCAUGAGAACCUCAGCGGUCANNNNNNNNNNNNNNNNNNNNNNNNNNNNNNNNNNNNNNNNNNNNNNNNNNNNNNNNNNNNNNNNNNNNNNNNNNNNNNNNNNNNNNNNNNNNNNNNNNNNNNNNNNNNNNNNNNNNNNNNNNNNNNNNNNNNNNNNNNNNNNNNNNNNNNNNNNNNNNNNNNNNNNNNNNNNNNNNNNNNNNNNNNNNNNNNNNNNNNNNNNNNNNNNNNNNNNNNNNNNNNNNNNNNNNNNNNNNNNNNNNNNNNNNNNNNNNNNNNNNNNNNNNNNNNNAAGGAGUCGCCGAGUGAUCCCUCAAAGAGGUUGAGGGCGGGCUCGUUGAACUUGAAAGCCACCACAUGUUCCACCGCGGCAUGGGUGGCCACAGUAUGCCUGAUCUAGCGCUGCAGCCGUGAACGCCCGAAACGCUUGUGACGGCGCGCAAUGCUGGGGUGGGCAGCAACUCGGUACGGAGCCGAGGGCUGCCGGAGAAGGACUCCAUAUGAGGAUGCACGGAAAUGCGUCGCGCCUCGGACGGGUGACGCCUCCACGUCCAACGAGGCCUCGCGAAGCCACGUUGAGCCGUCGGCGAUGAAGGACAGUGCCCGAAACGGAUUACGCCGCUGAAUGAUGUGAUGAUGAAGAAAUCCACCUACGCCGUGAAAUUUUGCUAGACGCCCGGUCCCAUGAUGGGCGCCAACUGUCGGGUUUAUGAUCCUGACAAUGAGUAAUAUGGGUACAAAUAAGGGGGCAGAACCUAGCUACGGCGCCGGCGUAACACUCGGUAACGAGUUCAGGUCCCUCUCGGUGGAGGUAAAAGCCCUACGUCUCGUGCCCUAGACUUGCUUUGUUUUGAUGGGGUUACAAAGAUUCCCCCGCGGCUAUGGAGAGGGGUGCGGCUUAUAUAGUGCGCUGCAGCCCCAUGUCUCCCACGCCUCCGAGGCAGUUAAUGACAUUCAAUGGGUCAGUUACUAGUAUAAUGAGCUUAUACUACAUCUGUUACAGGUAGCGGUAGCAACGACUCUAUUUAGUGGAUGAGUUAGGAUUCCUUGACCGUUGCAGCUCCCACGAUGCCCUCCUGCCUUCUAUGUCCGAGUGGUGAUACAUCAGCCAAAUGACAUGUGGUUGUCCGAGUGCCGCGAGUCGUCCGAGUGAACAUCCUGAUGUAUGCAUCUGAAUGUUGGCAUGGUUCAGGGACUUGCCUAUGAUAGUGAUGGGCCCCAUGUGGGUCCCAAAUGAUGGGUCCUUGACCCUACCUAUAAUAGCUGACCACAUCAUAUAGUAGUAGCAUAGCAUUUAUUAUGAUACGGUAUCUACCUGGCAUGGUUCAGGGACUUGCCUAUGAUAGUGAUGGGCCCCAUGUGGGUCCCAAAUGAUGGGUCCUUGACCCUACCUAUAAUAGGUGACCACAUCAUAUAGUAGUAGCAUAGCAUUUAUUAUGAUACGGUAUCUACCUAUGUUAUUCUAACCCCCUCUCUUUCUUCUUUAAUUGUCUGCCACAUAAGCAUGUUUGCGAGUCUCAAGUGCAUGAUACUGGUUAUAUUAACUCCACUAUGGCCAGCCUAAAAUAACAUAUGCUACUUAUAUUUAACAAACAUCUUACAACUAUGCAAUAAUCAACUAUAAUGAAUCAUAUGUAUUUUCGUUUUCAGUUUUCAUAAUAUUAAUUCCAAAUAAUUAUGUUCAUACAACUAAAUUUCAUUCAAAAACCUAACCAACUAAUAGAAGAAUGUGAAGGGUAUUGUCCAUAUUUAAUAAAAUAAAUUGACAUCAAUUUAUCAUGCUACAAAUUUCAAAUAGAAAGUAUACCUAGACAUUGCGAGGUAUAUUUCAUGAUAAAAAUCGCUUUUGUCCAAGUAGCUACAUGUAUAUAAUUUUUGUUUACAGUACAACUGAUUGAUAGUAAGACUAGCCACAAUGCAUAGUAACAUACACUAGUAACAUACACAAAUCCCUAGACUAUGUUACUACCUUCAUAGUGGGUAGUAACAUAAGUGUGAUAACAUGCAAAGCUUCAUUUAUUAGGUUAUAGACUCAUAUUGCAUUGGGACAUGUGAUGUUACAGUAACUAGUUAAGUUACUGUAACCAUCUCUCUCCUCAUUAACUCAUUGCCACAUAAGCAAAUUUACUGAGUUAGACUCGAUGUUACUGCUGAAAUUACUCCCACUGUGGCUAGUCUAAGCCACCAGAAGCGAGGCAACAUUGCAUAAUAAUGAAACUUUUUUGGUUUUUUGCUGAGCCCAAGGUGCACCGUAGUCCGUGUUGGUGCGGUUCCGCGUUUUCCCAGGAACAUGCCUCGCAUCUCCCUUUGUUUAAUGCGAAGCCAAUCACUCAGCGUCCCUGCGCAAACUCCCAGCAACAUUCCAAAACGUUGCUCGAUUACUAUGAACUCAUGACCGAGCAAUGCAAAGCUUAACCAAACAAAAUAUAUUCUGCCCAACCAAAUCCAUGUAAGCAUUUACUGAACCUGCCCCUCCUACAUUACCAGCAGCGUACAGCUCAUGUGAGGAAGAUGUCCCUCUGACACUGCGUAUGGACCAAGACAAGACCAUAAUGGACAUAGCCUGAGCAUAUAGGCAUGUACUGUGUCAUGGUACCGGUGGUACAACACCACAAUGAAUGAAUUUUGCAAUGGCCCGUAAAGGUGCGGACUUUGUCAGCCUCUCCCUCCCUCUGCCGCUCUUCUAGCCAUGUGAGUAUAUAAACACCACUAAUCCUUUUUUCUCUAGCAUCUUCUUCUCGCCCUCACACUUGAAUAGUAAUCUCCUCCUCUCAAGAAAAUGCCCCAUCUUCCUCCUACCCCAGCAAUGGAGCUCCUCGGUGCUUCUGCAGCUGCAGCCGGUGCAUCCUGGCCAGCAUUUGGAGACCCGGGAGCGGACGAGUCCAACGGCGACGAGCCUUGCAGAUAGGAGACGGCGGGCGCGCGAGCUAGCGGCUCGCAUUGUGCUCUCACUGCGUCGUCCUCCUCUGCUCUGCUCUGCGAGCAUGCAUGAGGCGGCCGGUGCGAGCGUGCGGUGGGGAAUUGAGGCGUUAUGGUCCGAGAUAUAUGUAUAUCUCUCUUUCUCUCUCUCUCUUUUCUAGGCAUCUUUUAACUAGUUAUUUGUUCCUCCUCCGAGAAUAUCCUCCCUUCCUCUUGUUUCGUCUCUGUUUCUUCUUCCUUCUACUUUGGUUUGUAUCCAGAGGCUGUAAGCGACGCAUUCUUGGCGUGGAGGAGCUUGUUUGUGAUGUUAGGCACCUCAAUGUGCUUGGUGAAUGUCUUGUUGAGCCUGGAAUGCAUCGGUUACACUUUGUAAUGCAUGUAAUGUAAUCUGUCUGCUUUUAGUGGAGUAUGUUUUUGCUCUUGUUCCUGACUGUUUUUCUUGUAACCAGACACCAUCAUUUUUGUGCGCCAUUGUGUGCACUGCAACCAAGGUAUCCGAGACUGAAAAUCACUCUUUUUCUUUUGCGGGCAACUGAAAAUUACUCACGCUGGUAGUAGCCACCAUGUUGCAAUGCAUAUCGUCCGGGCAAUUGAUGUUUCUUGUGUCGCUCCUUAAUUUCCAAACACCAGGUGAACACAUCUUCCAAAUUUAACGCAUUGCCCUUACUAAUAGAAGAAACAAUCUUUCAAAUUAGUAAGUUCAGUACCUGCCAAAUUCCCCAUCCCCACAAGCGCAUGCACAUCCAGAAUGUAGGCUCUGGUCAGGUGUGCACACCGCACGCUUGUGUUUAAUGCUUCUGUGUGCAUAUCAAUCAAUUAGCAUUAGAGACAUUCUCCACUUCUAGGUCAGCACGGCAGGAAUAAAAUAGGGAGGAGGAUGCGGUGGUAGUGGUACCACCAGGGCAUGAGUGAGGGAAUGCCAAACAAACAAGAUGGGAUUGCAUCUAUGGGGAGGGACUACAAUAGAAUCUGGGCUUGUAGUAGAAAAAUAGAAAAAACAGAUCUGGACCACUAGAUGGGAGACUGAUGGCCCAGAUUUAGGUGGAGGGAUCUCAGACCACUUAAUGUACUUUUCACGGAAAACCCCCUGCCAAUGUUUAGAUAUGAGAUAGCAUAUUUGCAGUAUAGACCUUGAGUCUUCGUGAAAUAUGACCAUUUUCAUAAAUGCACAGUGCUGAUGCCCAUCUCAUCUUAGCUUGAUAUACAAAAAUCUUUGCAAAUAUUUACUUCAUGAAAUUCAUACACAUUUAAGUGUCUAUUUUAGCCUCUGAGACAUCAUUAAUUUUUCAAGAGGGUCGGACAUCUUGGUUUCUAAGAAAACAUCAAUAUAUAUCACAUUUUUUUAGCACAUAAGAGAACUAAGCCAUCCCAGAACAAGCAGAACUGCAUAUACAUAUCAAACUAGAAGUAGUGCAUGAGCAAAUUAAGGACUGGAAUUAUCACCACAUCAUUUGAGUAUUUGAGUACAUGAGAAUACAACACAAGAGGUGUACAUAGAACACUUUUAGUACAUGGCCAGCAGACCCAAGUGUAAAUGACUGAAACUAUCACCGUCCAACAAGCAUCUUGAUAGUACAUGACAAAAAAGGUCUAGGAGUAUCAUUUUUCGUCCUGUUUUAGUGCUUCCUGUUAAUCGAGCUUCAUCCGCUGGCAUUCAAGCUUCUAUACGAGAGUUUUUAACCUCCAAGAACUCUUAUACACUUGAUCAGUUCAAACUACCUAGCUAAGAACACCAAAUAAGUAGGUGUCAGUUAGAAACAUACAUGAAAUAGCAUAUCUUGAGAAGAGAGACAUUCAUUAUGUCCAACUUCAUUCACAGCUCCAACCAAGGAUACAAAACCUAGAUGUCAAACUUAAGAUGAAAUUCCGAAUACACAUGUAACCAAUCAGAAUAACCCUUGAGGUCGUUGAUGGCAUUCCAGCUUCUACAUGGGAGUUUUCAAAUCAAAUAAAAAUGGCAUGUAGUAGCGGGAUAAGUCUAAUAGAGAGAGUACAAAUAUUUGUUACAGCAUAUUUCGUUAUUCCACUACAGAUUAGGUUAUGUUGUUAUACCUAUUGACUUAUAAACCAAUAACAUCAAAAUUCGCAAGAGGUCAGUAUAACACGCAUAUGUUCUAACUCAAAAAUAAUUGUAAAAACUGACAAACAUUCAUGUUCAUAACAUUGAAUGGACCUUAGCUGCUUGCACAAAAACCAGCUCAUAGAAGUUUCAUAGUGGUGAAGGUUAGAGAUUAUGACCCAAGGUUACAAUUAUAAAUUUGACUUUACCCAUCUAAAAAGGACAAUUAUUGGGCAUGGAUACAAACAUACCGGGCAUGGAAAAAGGUAAAUCUGGAUCACCUUGAGAAAAUAGGAAUGCAGGCUACAGAUUCACACUGGGUUAAAGCUUGCACGGGCAUGCAUAGACCUACGAUCAAUAUAUAUAUUACAAUUUUCUAGUAGAAUCGGUUUACUUCCUUUCCAGCUUGUCAAGCUACUGACUCUGUAUAUGGAACUGCAGGUACCGAGUUUUUUAGUGAAUUGCCGUGAACUUAUACGUGAACUUCAAGACCCUAAGAUUAUCCAACCGUUCUCAACCUUCCAACUUGGUUCUGCAGAGUACUUAACAGUGAAACAAAAUUUCCAAAUUAGAGUACGACACCACCAAGAACAGGAGCAAAUGCAUCACGCACACACAAGCAGAUUUGACAUGAAAGUACAGGAAAAUAGAAGUAUACAGAUAAAUCGGAAAUUUACUUGAUAUAGUAAAACUGGAAUGCAACACAAAUAGGAAACAAAGUUAACAUCUAUUUACUAGGAAAAUGAACAACCGUGUCGAGGAUUUGUAGGUUCGCACCACGUCGCAUGGGGCGGUUGGGAAGGAGCCGAGGAGCUCACCACCGGCUUGCCGCUGACGAGGAGGAGGACACGAGCUGAUCCUGGUGCGUGAGAGAGAGACGAGGCGACGGACCGACCGCUACCGGAGAUUCAGAUGAGAGGUUGCGAGCCUGCGACGAGCACACUGCGGGCUGAGCUUAGUAGCGGAGAAGAUCUGAUUUGAUCUGCCUCAAACAGCGCCGCCGACGACGUGAUGGCCAGGAGCCAUCGGAGAUUUUCUGAAUUCGCCCAGCUUGAGGAUGGAUCUGGGCUGCCGCCGCGGCCAGCGUUGGGGCUGCCGCUCUGUACGCGAUUUGGGAUUGAACGACGAG